This 70261-nucleotide long non-coding RNA is filed under the name Durio zibethinus. RNAcentral describes it as "long non-coding RNA (DZIB_LNC002381)". The record is from RNAcentral. Lineage: Eukaryota; Viridiplantae; Streptophyta; Magnoliopsida; Malvales; Malvaceae.
CUUAUUCUUCUCAUUUUCUAAGUUUACCAAUUCAGUUAUCUACUAAUGAGGUUUAAUUAGUUUAUUUUCUUGCUUAAUUAAUCUCAUUGGUUUGGAGGUAAUACAUAUUCAUUAGAAUCAUCUUUGUUAUCAAGUUUAUCAGUAUUAAUUAAAUUUUUAAAAUUAACCCUUUGAUCAUUAUCAUGAUUAUCCUCAUGUUCAUUUAUGGACUUAAAAUUAAAUAAAAUUAGGAAUGUUGGCAAGAUGUGUGGGGAAAAUGAAAAAUUAGAGUAAUAGAAUAAAUGAAUGAAAAUGCAUCAUUUCUAAUCUUUAUUGAAAUAAUAAUAGAUAAAUGAUCCAUACAUAAAAGAUCAUCCCAAUGCCUUUGGACAUAAGCUAUUAGGAUGUACAAUUACAUUGAAAAAGUUUCAAGGAUAGCAGGCAUUUCAAUGGUGCUCCAAUUGUUCAACUCGUAACUUGAUGGACAAAGAUAAACCCACACUUCAUGUUCAUGCCUUUUUUCAUCUCCAAUUGCAUAAAUGGCCAAUACAGCAAAUGCCUUUUCCACACUUAAUUUUGGCUCCUCUUCAAAAUCUUCAUCCAACUCUGGAUACAUGAACCCUCUAGGCCUAAAGAUAUCAUAAAGGUGUGGAAUAACCAUCAACAUAGCUUUUGGUUCAUAACCUUUGAGUUUCGACAUCCCAUUUUCCUUUUUGUCCAUUUGUCUUUUUUUCAUCUUUCUACCUUCUACUUUAUAACCCAAACCUAGCCUCUAAAUAUUGUUAAUUAUCAUUGGAGUCUCUUUUAUUCCUUGUAAAUUUUUACUUGACCCCACUCCAAGAUACCAACUUUUGUUGACAAUUUGAUUCACCACUAUGUUUGUGAAACAAGGUUGGUUUAUCUUAGAUCCUUCACCUAUAAAAUUGAUAAGCUCAAAGGAUCGGUAAGAACAUUCUAAUGCCUCACAGCAGCCUCUACAUAUGGGGCAAUUAUGGGCUGAGUUAUCAAUAUAUCCUCUUCUCCAAACACAAUGAUCAGCUGGCCUUCUAUAUUGAAUUUGACUUUUUAGUGUAGGGUCGGAGGGACAACACCUGCUAUAUAGAUUCAUGACCUUUCUAACAGGCAGCUAUAAGAUGAAAAAAAUCCAUAACUUAAAAUUUAACUUAAAAUUUUUCAUAAUAAAAAGAUUUUAAAGUAUUUACAAAAAGCACUAUAGUUUUUUUUUUCAGUUAAAAGUGACUGAACUUGAGUAGCCAUAUCCUUCUACAUUUGGACAUACUCCUUAAAUGACUUAAUCAUCUUCUUCUCUAUAUUCUAUAAAAAAAGAUGAACAGAAGCUAAAUCUAUUAUGUGUUGGUAUUGACUGAUAAAGUUGUGAGUUAGCUCUUGUCAUAUGUGAAUGUGAGACGAAUCCAACUGAACAUACCAUCUCAUUGUAAAACUAGUAAGGUUAUCUUGUAAUAUAUGCAUAAAAAACUUUUCAUCACUAGUAUAGGCAGUCAUUUUACAACAAUAUAUGGUAACAUAAGUUAUUGGACACUUUGUAUCAUCAUAUUUUUCAAACUCUGAAACUUUGAAUUUUGAGGAAAUAACAACAUCUGGGACUAAACAGAACCCAAUAACAUUUAUUGGACCAUGAAAACCAAUUCCCUCCAUUGCUCAUAACCUUUCUUCAAGCUUGUUCAUCUUUUGGUCAACUUUUAAGCCCUUCAGUAACUUGAUCACUUUUAACUUUAAUUUUUUUUCUCUUUUAGAUCAUCCAGAUUAGGGACCUAUAUUGGUUUUAAGGCUUUCUUCCCAAAGAUUGGAUUAACAUAACUUUGGAACUAACCUUGGGCAAUAGUAGAUUGCAUUCCUAGGUUAGUGUAUGGAUAGGCCCUAGGAAAAUUUACUUGUGCUCCUUAAAAAGGUUGGCCUUGAUAAUGUUGAAUCUUGGAAGGUACAGAGGAUCAAUUACAUCUUGCACAAGAUGCUUUGGCUAACUUGAAACUUCUUCCACCCUUUUUCUUUUAUUUAGCUUAUUCAAAGCUUCUAAAAUUUUUUCCAACUCUACCAUGAACUCUUCUUGGGCCUUUUCAAUCUUGUCAAAAUGAUUGGAGUUUUCUUAUUUUAUCUAUCUAGCUUAGGCUUUUGUGUUGUAUUGGUGGUGAAUGGGGUUUUUGGAUGGUGAAACUAUUCUUGAACCUUAAGUACCAUAAUUGUUAAUUAGAGGACUUGUUUAUAACUUAAUAUGAAAAAUAAAAACUUAUUAUGAAUGUAAUGUAUGAGAUAUAAUGCAUGAGAGAUGAUAUUUGCCUUUUAAAUAAUUUUUUUAAAAAUAAACUUUUAUUUAUUCCAUAAAAGUCUAUUUACAUAGAAUCUAUAAUUCUUAAUUUGAAAAUACGUUUGACUUGUUCAUAUUGGUCUUUGGCCUCAUCAAUGAAGUUCAACAAAUGUUGUCCAUGCUUUUCUAUUGGGGUGAUUACUUCUCUAAGAGCUUUACCUUCUUAGCCAUGUCCUUUAUCUUGAUUAUUGCCUUACUUAUCUGGAUCAUAAAAUGCUCUUUGUACUCUGUUGUCCUAAGUUUUCCUUUUUGUCACACCAAACUUGAUAUGAUAACUCCUUAUGCUCUCUUGUAAGUGCGAUGAUAUGAUUUGCUUGCUCAUUUAAUCUCUAUUUUAAAACCUAAAUAUAUUAUCUGUGUGCUUUAAUUUUUUUUUAGCUUCAGUGCAUUCAUCUUUUAUUUGAGAAUAUUCUCUUUUUAAUUUUUCAUUUUCACAACCAAAUUGAUGAUGUUUAUUUUUUUUACUUUAAUUUGGAUGUGUAACUUUUUACAUUCUUAUUGUGAUUCCAUCAACUUAUUGAGGGCAGUCUCACAUUCCUUAGCUAUUUUUUGGGCUUUAGCCCUUUAUCUUCUACCUCAGUAGUCAUCUUUUUACGUUCUUUAUGCAACCCUGAUAAGUCACUAAUAGCUAUGUCUCAUUCUUUGAUGAUCUUCUUUAUCUUAACCUUUUGUUUCAUCACUUCUUCCUUUAUUUUCUCUUUUUUUUAUUGAAGCCUUUGAAUUUUUUUCUUCAAUUUAUUUUUCUCAGAUUCAAAUUCCUCUUUUGUAAAUUCCAACUUUGAAGGUAACUCUUUCAUAUAUUGUUCCACUAACUAGCAAAAAUCUCAAAAAAUGAACAUAAUUUUUUUACCUUUUUUUGCCUUUCAUACCAUAUAUCUCGGGGUGAUCUUAUUAAUGAAAAAUCCAAUAGUCAUAUUCUUAGACUUCUUUCAUGGCUUAAUUAUACUAUCAAUCCUGUGAAAGGCUUUAGGCUCACCAUAUAGACAGUCUAAUUGAUUUAGCUUGUGCGUUAUGAGGAUAAACUGUUUAGCUCCACAUUGCCUUCUUACCAUGAAUGGUGCAUAACUUAUUGAUUCCUACAAUCCUAAAAGUGUAACCCCAAUUUCAUCUUCACAUUGAUAUAACAUUGGCUCUCAACUUAUCCAUGGGACUAAUGACUGCACUUGACUACUUAUGAGCUAUUGUAGAAAACACUUAUAUUCAUUCUUGAUCUUUAUUUGUGGCCAUUUGCUUUCAUAUAAUUCCCUAACAGGAUUUCGAUUGUGAAAAUAAAGUUUAGAGGAAGCAUUCUUUUUGCAUUCAAAAUCACUCUUCAUCCAUAGGUAUAACAAUGGUGUGUAACCCAGAAAUUGCCCUUUAUCAUUUUGUCAAUAAUGAUUCAACAACCUAAUAGUUUCUACCAAAAUUACUGGUGAAAGAUUGCAUCAUCUUUCUAUUUGCUCAAACAAAUCUACCAUUUCUAUCUCAAUAUGCCCUAAAAUUUUAGGAAAGAUCACUAUACCAUAUAUGGCUAUAGCAAAUACAUUUAAUUCCUAGUCAUCGUCUGGAUGUUUUGUAAUGAAGUAAUGAAAAAACUACCCAGAAAUACCCUUAUGUGCUCAUUUUUCUUGGAUAUGUGAAUCUAUAACCUCCUUGUUGACUCCUAAGAUAUGAGCUAACUUUUUGCGAUACCCAGGCUUUUAUUUUUUCACAUAAACUCUAUCUGGUUGUUGGAGAUGCAUACCUACCAAAAUUGAAUACUCUUUCAUGGUUGGCUCCAUAUCCACUUCAUUAAAGCUAAAACAAUGAUAGAAAGGAUCUCAAAAUUACACCAUUACCUUUAUAAGUGAACUUUCCACUUUCACUAACAAGAGUGUACAAUGUGGCCAAAUUUCUGAUAGAAGACUUGUUGUCUCGACGAGCUUAUGUUUUUCUGUAUGGCUAUUAAAUCUUGCAAAUCAUUUUUUUUAAAUAGCAAUCAAACUUUUCUAGGUAGUGUAAAAAUAUAGCCAGGUGGUAGACAAUCUCCUUCCUUCUGUUGGAUAUUCUUUGAUUCAAUCUUCAACUCAUUAGGUGACUCAUAUUUGGCAAACAUGGACGAAGCACAAACUAGAUGUUCUAUAAGCUCCAUGAAAGCUUUUUGUUGGUAAUAUCUUUCAGGGCAAAUAUGUUAUGCAAUCUAUAUGCAUGUUUUAUGAACAUGCAAGAAGAAGAAUAAAGAAAAAAAAUUGGUUAGUAAAUGUAAUAUAAGAAAAAAAACAUGUUAGCACAUAAUAUGAUCCUAAACUCCAAGUUAAUUCUAAAAGGUAAAAGAGACAUAGCUCUAUCUAUGGGUUAAGUUGAUAAGGUUAACUAUAUGCAUUUUGGGUUAAUUUUAAAGAUUCUUAAAUUGUUCCUUACAUUAAUGUCCAUUACAAACUAGUGAGGCAUCCCAAUCCUCGCCUAUUAUAGGCUACAAAUAAAAAUGAUUCAAUUUGAGUGAGAGUAUUUCGCUAGCCCAUAUGAAGACAUGAAAUCUUAUGAAAGUGUAGGUACUUUAUUCCUUUUUAAGAGAUAGAACCCAGGUAUAGAGCUCAUGUUAUGCACAUGCAAAUAAAUGACAAAAUAUUAAAAGUUUGAAAAAAUAAAUCAAGAAGAAAAAAAAUCUUUUUAGGGAAAACAUUCGGCUUAGAUAACAUAAAUUCAUUUACUGGCCUAACUUUCAGCAUCCCUAGUGAAGUUUUUAAUUUGUCAUAAUGUAUAGAUCCAUUAACUUAUAGCUAGACUUAACUUUAAGAGUCACCAUCAAUCUUUUUUGUUUAAGUGCAAUUGGCACCUAAGUGAAUUUAUCUUUUUUUAAAGAAAAAUCCCAAGUUUAACUUUUGGUAUAUUUAAAAGGUGGAUUUUAUAUAUACAAAAUCAAGAUUAGAUUUGAAAGUAUGAUUACGUGUGAGAAAAGUUAUAGCACUCUCACAACACCCAUCAAAUGAUGGUACCAAUUUGAUUUUAUAUUAUCCAAGCCUUAAAAUGUGUUUAUAAUUUACCUAAUAAAUUUAAUAUUAAAAAUUAUUCUUAAAAUUACUCCAAUCAUUUUGUAGUAAUUUAAGAUAAUUUUUCUAUUUCAAGAGUAUUCAUGGAGACUCAUGUUCCAUUCUAAAGAGGUUUUGAUAUCAGAUUUAUUAAUAUAUUUUCUAAGAAAUAAUUUUUUUGAAAUUAAUCAAUAAAAUCUUUCAAAUGUUUGGUAAGAUUUUAUAUCAAUGCAUAUCUCCUAAUCGUUUGAUAGGAUUUUUUUUGAAAAUCUUUUUAUGAAAUUUUUAAAAAAAUAAAGUCAUUAAAUCCUCCAAUAGUUUUGUAAGAUUUAACGAAAAUUUGAAUCAUUUAAUCAUUUGGUAGGAUUGAAAAUUUAUUUUUUGAAAACUCAUUGUGAAAUUCUUCAAUUGUCUAGUAGAAUUCAUAGUUGAAAAUUAAACCCAUGAAGAUCUUCUAAUAGUUUGAUAAGAUUCAUCAAUUUUUAUUUUAAAAAUAAAUAAAAUGUAUAAAAAUAAAGAAUAUAAAAAAAAAUAGCUAAAACUUAAAUAAAUAACAAAAGAUAAAAAAUAAAAAAUGAAAUAAAGUAAAAACAAAAAAUACCAAAAAAAAAAAAGCUCAGCUUGACUAAGAUCAAACAACUUGGCUAUAGAAACCAGUUGACUAGAGUGGUUUGGGACAAUAGCUUAGCUCGGCUUAAGCUUCUGUAACUAAAGGCAGGUAGUGAAAUCGAAUCAUGCUACGGGUCAAAUUCGUAACUGGUAAAAUGUGCAGAUCUUGGACUUUUUUAUUCCUCAAAAUGGUAUCGUUUCAAUUGGGUAUAACAGCCUAAUUUUUUCUUGUUUAUCAGAUUUUCUCCAAUCCCUUCUCUUUCUUCCCUUUCUUUUGUCUAUCUCUCUCUCUAGAAUUUUUUUAACACUGGUCGAAAAUCCCAAUGAAACCCAAAUCACAGUGAAAAGUCAUCGAAAAAGUCAACAUUCGUUAUCAAAAAAUUCAAUAAAUUUAAAAUUUUUAAAAAAAUUUCUAAAAAAGUUUCUAGAAAUGUAAAAAAACUUGUAAAGAUUCUCAAAUUGAUUCUCUUCCUUCCAAAAUCCUCAAAUAUCCUUAAUCUAAUUUAAUCAAAAUUUCAAAUCUGCCCUAACUUCAAUAUAUACAUAUAUAUAUUUUGCCAAAAACUCUAAAAAAAUUUGCCUAUUCUUUUUCUUUGCAUUUUGUGGUCUUUCUCUGCUAAUUCAUUUAUGAUUUUUUGUCCCUUCUUAUUGCUUAAUUUGGGUUUAUAUUUAUAGAGAUUUGAUUAUAAAAACCCUAAGUUAAAAAGGAUUUUAAUUUCACUUCAAUUCGAAUUUCAAACCUUGAUUUAGACUAAAUUUUAUAACCUAAAGAAAAAAGUCCCAAAGACACUAUAGGGGUUUUGGUUUUUAAUGACUUUUUUUUACCGUUUAGCGGUAUUUAUUAACGCCACUAUAAGGUUGUGGUGUUUUUGAAAAAAUGCCACGCAGAAUACCGCCUAUACAUGUGUCGUGGUAAAUAGCGACAUUUAAAAAAAAACGCUUCAAUAUUAACGACGUUUAUAUCUGAAAUGCCACCAUUUUAACGACAUUUAUAUCUUUGAGACGCCACUACUUUAAAGGCAUUUGAAUCUGAAAAUGGCUCAAUAUUAGCAACGUUUGUAUCUUUUAGUCGCCGCUAUUUCAGUGACAUUUUUAUGAGAAAAACGCCAUUGCAUUGACGGCAUUUGUAACAGAAAAUGUCAUUACUUUAGAGGCGUUUGAAUUUGAAAACACCUCAAUAUUUACGGCGUUUGUAUCUUUUAGGCGUCGCUAAUUCAGUGGCAUUGUUAUGAGAAAAACACCAUUAGUGAAGGCAUUUCUAUAAAAAAUGCCACCGACCUAGUGGCAUUUGCUUGAAAGAGCACUGCUUCUUAGUGGCAUUUUAUGCUACAAAUGUCACUAAAUUAUUCAUUUAGUGGUAUUGCCCAAUGCAAACGCCGUCAUUAUGUAAAAAUGUAUUUUUUUAAUUUUUUAUAAUAAAUUUUAUUUUCAGUAAAGACCUUAAAUUCAGAAACUGAAAUUAAUAUUAACUUCAUUCACGUUUAAGUAUACAUCUAAUUAAUACAAAGUUUAAUAAUUAGUAUAAUAACAUUCAACUAUUGUAAAUACAUUAACCAAAUAAAAAAUUAAAAUGUAUGAAAUAGAUGACUACAUACAUUUUGCUGGCUGCCAAUUGAUGAAGAAAACUUUUCAUCUUGAUCACUAGCAUGCUCAACAACCUACUGAAUAAUACCAUAUAAUUUUUAACACUUCAUUGUAUGCUUAUUUUUUAUUUAAAAAUUUUAAUAUUUACUAAAUAUAAUACUUGAGUUGAUGGAGCACUAAGAUCAUUUCUUGAAAAUUGUUGUUACACAAAAUUCAUAAGAUGAUCGAAUUGAUCAUGCAACUGCUAAAAUUUCGCACGCUCUAACUCUAUUCUAGCAUGUUCAUUUUCAAUUUUGGCAUGCUCCUAUUUUUUUUCUGCUUCCAUUUGUUGAAAAUAUUGUUGCGUAGUUUGCUACUCCCCUUUCAAUAUUGAAAUGUCUCACAAAGACUGACUUGCUAAUAGUGUAAAUUAUAGAGAGUUAUGUUCAUAAUAGGUAGAUGGUGUUGGACCCAAUCCAAGGCCUCGGACCUAUCCAUGCCUUUUUUUUUCAGUAACUUCUAUGAAUAUCCGAUUUUUCAUUUCUUGCAUGUUGAGAGAACCUUCAGGUGCUACUUCAAUCUCAGCAACCAUUUUUUCUUUCGCUUUCUCCUGUGAAUUUGUCAUAUACAACUAUCAAGUUUAAUGAUUAAUUGAUUAUAUGUUAAAAACAAUUAAUAUUUACUUUAUGUUAAAAUAGAUGAUACAAAUUAUCAUAAUUUCUUGUGUUUCGACAUUCAUAUAAAAUUCAUCUUUUUUUAUGUGUAUUACGCGAAAAAGUUUCACACGUUGAAUUGUACCACCCAUCUCAUUCUCCUAUACAAAAAUAUAUGUUAUUUGAUAUGAUACAUAUCAACCGUAACUUAUUUAUGCAUAUCAAUCCUAUCAAUCAAGUAUUAAAAUUUUGAAUAAUUUUAAUCUUUUUAUUUAUAUUUUAGCCCUAUAACAACACAAUAGUCUUAAACAUAUGCAAAGAAUAAAAGCAUUUUGGGCUUUCACACAUAUCAAUCACGGAAACUAAAUUCAAUUAUUUUCUUUCAGUUUAAUAUAGAGGAUUGAAGCCUUUGAAAGGCAUCCAAAAUUUAUUUGUAUAUUUGCCUUUUAUAUGUAAAAAUAUUCUCAAACAGACAUAACUGACAACUUUUUCUCUUAUAUCAACCAUAGAAAUUAAGUUCAAUCAAUUGGACAAGCUUAAUAUCAACUGUUAAAGCUAUCAAAACUGUUAAAAUAUGACAAUAACAACAACCAGAUAAUAAAGGCAUAUAUAUACGUAAACAGUAACUUUUCAUACAUAUCAUCUGUGUAACUAAGUUCAAAACUUUUCGAUAAGUUUAAUAUCAUAUAUUCAAACAAUCAAAUCUAUUAAAACAGAACAAUAAAUGUUAAUUUUCAUAUUUACCUUUUUACGGUAAAAAAAGUUCAUUUAUUGGAAUAAGUUAAUUAUCAUAAACUUACGAUUUCUUUUUGCUUUCUUACAAAACUUUUUUAUCCACUUGUGUGGCUGGAUUUCUAUUGCUUUCUGCUACCAAUCCCAAUCUAUUUUCUUUCCUAUCAUAAAAAAUAAUUGUUUAUAUGAUAGAAAUACAAAUAUUACCAACUGAAACCAUCAAACACUUUCAUCAUUUCAUUAUAUUAUACAAAGUUAUAAACUACUACUUUUCCUUUUUUUUAGAACCAAAAUCUAACUAGUUAUUCAGCUUGCCACCUAAUCACAUUACGGGGUAGAUUUUGCAUCAUCGCCUCUACAGUAGUAUUUUGAUCGAAAUACUUAUUCUUUAAACUAUGCUUAUAAUCUUUCCAUUUCUUUCCCAAUGACUUAACCACAAAUGAAGUUGGUAUUUCAAAUAUAAAUCUCGACUGUAAUAAUACAAUAAGAAAAAUUUGAAUAAGUAAACAAAAUGUAAAAUAAAAAAUUUAAAUAAAAAAUUUUAAUAUAUCUAAUUAAUUAUACUAAUACUUCAAUAAAGUUUAACGCAUCGGCCUUAACUUCUUCUGGAACAUUAUGCCAUGUUUCAUAAUGAAUAGGCAAUUUCAUUUCAUUGCGGGCUAGCAUGCCUAGAAAUCCAGCCAAUAGUUGAGUCUCUUCACCAAUUGGUUACCUAUCAAAGUUUGCAAACAUUACAAUACGCUCGUUAGAAGGUAGUGCAAAUAAUUCUUUCAAAGUUGUUCGACCUUUGGUCUUUCGUUGACCAUUGUUAUCAACUGUAAUAAAUAUAUUUGUAAAAUCGUAAUACUUUUAUCAUUAUACUCGAAUUCUAAAAUUGGAGUAUAUCAUAUCUGCAUUCAAAUUUAAAGCAUAAUCAAUUGAUGGAGUACUAUCUAAACCUGGACCUCCUAUAUUACUAUAUCUAAUAUCAAUUGGAUGAAAGAUCUUUUUUAAAUGGCAUAAAGUAAUCGCGGCUCGAUCUUGAACUUUGUCAAGCUCUUCCACAUUCAUACAUUACUGACAUAAAGAUUUAAAUAUGUUACUAAAUUCAAUUAUCAUAGAAGUCACUUGCUUUGACAUUGAUGAAUGUAAAACAAUUGACAGUAAGUCUUGCAUCAAAAUGUGAUAAUCAUGUGACUUCAUUGAAAAAAGUUUUUACUUUUUCAUAUUCACACAUCUUGAUAUAUUUGACGUAUAGCCAUUGAAACUUUGACAUUUUUCAAAACCUUGCAAAACACAUCUUUUUCAGCUUUAAAAAUCCUAGAACAAGCAGCAGGCAAUUGAUAUUUGCCAUUAGGAAGCAACAUCAUAUGAAGGUCUGGGUGAAUCCCCAUAUUAACUAGGUUAAGUCGACUCUUUAAGUCAUCAUUGAAUCUUUUGUUCACAUUAAGAAUUGUAACGAUAAAAUUUUCACAAACAUUCUUCUCUAUAUGGAUAAAAUUAAAGUUAUGAUGUAAUAAAUUAUAUUCCUAAUAAAGCAACUUAAAAAAUAUACUUCUUUUUUUCUACAACUCAUACUCAUUAGGGUCAUCUACUUCAUUGUCCUCUUCAUCACUUUAAACAUCAAGAUCACUAAUUUUCUAUAUGACUAUCACCAAUUUACGUAAUACGAGACCAAAUACUUUUAAAGAUAUCCCUCACUCUUUUCUUUGAUGGAGUCAUUUUUCUAUAUGUGAAAUUAAUAUCUUUUAACUUUAACAAGAUAUUAGACCCACUAAUGGGUAAAGGCAAUCUCUUCAACUCUUUAGUUCCAUUAAAAAGAUGUUUUGAAAUCUAAAUUGAUGAUUAUCAUCUAACCAUCGAUGAUGUCCCAUAUAACAGAACUUCCUACCAUUACAUAACCAUGUUGAACAUGUUUGUGCAACACAACAUAGACAAGCAUAAUAACUUUUUAUACUCCAACCAGAUAAAUUCGCAUAAGCAAGAAAAUUAUUGCUAGUCCAUAAUAAAGCAGUAUGUAUAUUAAAGUUAUUUACUUUUGAUACAUCAUAGGUCUUAACUCCUUCCUAUAAUUACUUUAACUUUUAAUAAGAGAUUGUAAGUAGAUGUCUAUAUCAUUACCUGGAUCUUUUUUCUCAAAAAUUAUCAUAGAUAAUAUAAAUGACUGUUGCUUCAUAGCAAUCCAUGGUGACAAAUUAUAAGGAAUCAAUACAACUGGCCAAGUACUAUAAGAAGUACUUAUAAUUUAGAAUAGGUUGAAUCCAUCAGAUGCCAGUCCAAGCAUAACAUUUCGAGGAUCAGAUGCAAAGUCUAAAAACCUAGAAUGAAAUAACUUUCAUGCCAAAAAAUUUGCAGGAUGUUUCAAUGAUCCAUCAUCCAUCUGCUUCUCAUGAUGUCACCUUAUUAAAUCUACAGUUUUGAAAGACAUGUAAAGUCGUUGAAGUAUUUGUAUUAAUGAAAAAUAGCUUAAAACCUUAAUAGGCUUCUUUUUGACAUAUACCUCAUCACCAUCAUCAUUCAACCUUUCAUCGAAGUUUUUGUCGACCCAACGAGAAAUACCACACAAAUGACAAGAUUUUUUAUUUUUUCUAUCCCCCUCAAUACAACAUGCAAUCAUUGGGACAAUUAUGAAUUUUCUUAUAUAUGAGACCUAAAUCCUUGAUCAUCUUUUUUGAUUUCUUACAAGAUUUAAAAAUUUUUAUAAAAAAAAAAUUUCUUUUAUAAACUGUAAUAAUAAAGUCAGAGAGUUUUUUGUCCAUCCACAUAAGCAUUUCAAGUGAAAAAGAUGAACACAGAAAGACAACCUUGAAUGCUUUGAUCUCUCAAAAAGUUUUUCAUUCAUCUCCUCAAGUAACCUAUAAAACUUUGAUGUUUCUCUUCUAAGUUGUUGGUUACAUACAUCUAUUCUAGUUCACCAAAUUCAUGCAUUUUAACAUUGGACUGAUUAAAUCCUUCAUUUUGGGGAGAAAGAUUAUGAAAAUUUUGGUUAUGAAUGUUAAAAGCAUCUCAUAACAUGCCUUCAAUGUCAUCUGCUAUAAAGGGAUCAUGUUGGUGAUGGAAAGCUUUUGAUGUUGAAAGAAUUGUAGUGGAAGACCUUGACUGUACAGACUCUCCAUGAAAAUACCAAUUAAUAUAUCCCGAUAGAAAUCUAAUACAAAUUAAAAUGCUCAUAAACAACUUGACGCAUUUGCCACUUGAUAUUAGCAUAUUUCACACAUGAGCAUAAUAUCAUAUUAUCUUCACUUGUAUUCUCAAAUGUAAAAUUAAGAAAAAUUUUUACUCCAUCUAUGUACUCUUGACUUAAUCUUGACUUUUUCAUCCAACUUUUAUCCAUUUAUUAGUUGCUACAUUAUCAAACCAAAUGUAUAUAAAUAACUAAUAUGAAAACGAACAUGUAUAAUUGCAUAGUUUACUAUGUUUUAAACAAAAGAUAAUAACAAGACCAGUGCUUACACAAAAUGAGAACUCCUUGUUGUGCAGUAAUUUAUCAGCUAUUAGAUAUUAUGAUUAUUAAAACUCUGUUGUUAACGUAGAUAGUACCCAAGAGUAUUUAUAGUUGGGGUUGACAUAAGGUGUAAUAAGGUGGGUUUUGUAGAAAAUUUUUUUCACCAAAAAAAAAAUUAUGAAUUGCAAAAGUUGAAGGAAUAGUCAAAUGAAGUAAAAGCUAAAGUCAAUAAGUUAUGAAUAGUCAAAAUAGGGUUCUAAAACAUAAUGCUAGAAUAAUAAAAAUGGAAGGAAAGGGAAAGUAAAUUGUACUUAGUCUGAAAAGAAAAAUAGUAUAAUAAUGAAGAUGAAGCUUGAAGUUGGUGAUUGGAAGCGUUAAGUUUGGGAAGAUUUUUAUUGGAUAGGAUUAUGGAAGGCAUUUACUAAUAAAAAACAUCAACAAUAAUUCUCUCAUAAAUAUUUUUUGAAUAUAAUAUAGAUGCUUUGAACAUAUCACCACAUAAAUUUUAACACGGUUAUUGAAGGCGUAUAUCCAAGAAAGAUACCUUUAAUAAUUUCUAUCACAAUUUGUAUAUAAUUAGUGAAAGCGGUUGAAAAAAAUAAUACCUUUAAAAUUUUUCCUAAAAAACUUUUUUCGGAUUAGUAAAGGUGUCUCUGAUUAUGAUACGCCUUCAAUAUACCACGAUGAUUAUGGAAGGCGUUUAUUCGAAAAGACGCAUUCAAUAUACCUUUAAACUUAAUAAUCCAUUACUAAAGGCGUUUGUUAAUAACAGACACCUUUAAAAUUUUUUCAUUAAAAAUUUUGUAAAUUAUUAAAGGCAUUUUCUACUGUAAAAUGCCUUCUAUAUACUACCAUAAAAAUUCUAACACUGUUAUUGAAGGCGUAUAUCCAAGAAAGAUGCCUUUAAUAAUUUUAUCACAAUUUGUAUAUAAUUAGUGAAGACGGUUGUAGAAAACAAUACCUUCAAAUUUUUCCUAAAAACUUUUUUGGAUUAGUAAAGGUGUCUUUUAUUAUGACACGCCUUCAAUAUAUCAUGAUGGUUAUGAAAGGCAUUUAUUCGAAAAGACACCUUCAAUAUACCUUUAAACUUAGUAAUCUAUUACUGAAGGUGUUUGUUAAUAAUAGACACCUUCAAAAUUUUUCCACUAAAAAUUUUAAAAAUUAUUAAAGGCAUUUUCUACUGUAAAAUACCUUCUAUAUACCACCAUAAAAAUUCUAACACUGUUAUUGAAGGUGUAUAUCCAAAAAAGAUACCUUUAAUAAUUUCUAUCAUAAUUUGUAGAUAAUUACUGAAAGCGAUUGCAGAGAACAACACCUUCAAUAAUUUUUCUAAAAUAAAUUUCUUAAAUUAUUAAAGGUAUUUUUUAUUAUGACACACCUUCAAUAUACCACGAUGGUAAUGAAAGGCGUUUAUUAAAAAAGGCACUUUUAAUAUACUUUUAAACUUAGUAAUCCAUUACUGAAGGCGUUUGUUAAUAACAUACGCCUUCAAAAUUUUCUCACUAAAUAUUUUAAGAAUUAUUAAAGGUAUUUUUUUACUGUAAAAUGUCUUCUAUAUACUGCCACACAAAUUUUAACACUGUUAUCAAAGGCGUAUAUCCAAGAAAGAUGCCUUUAAUAAUUUCCAUCACAGUUUGUGUAUAAUUACUUUAGGUGGUUACAGAUAACAAUGCCUUCAAUAAUUUUUCAAAAACAAAUUUUUUGGAUUAUUAAAGGCAUCUUUUAUUAUAAAACGCCUUCAACAUUUUGUUAUAAACUUUGAAAAUCCAUAAUUAUUGAAGGUGAUUUUUUACUGAAAAUGCCUUUUAUAAUUUUUAAGAAUUAGAAAAGGUAUUUUUUUUAUAAAAUAUGCCUUUAAUAAGUUGGUUGGACAAUUUUAAAGGCUUAUAAUUAAAGGCAUAUAAUUAAAGGCAUCUUUUUUUUUUUGUAAAAAAUGCCUUCAAUAAUCUCCAAUAAAAUUUUCAGGUGAUUAUUGAAGGCGUUGUUCUAUGGAAAUGCCUUUAAUAAUUAAUUUUAUAUUCAUUUUCAUGCCCUGAACAUAGGAAUUUGUAGAGGGCUGGCACACAGAAUGAUUAAAAGCUGUGUUAUUCAACCAAACAAACCAACCCUUAAACACAUUUCUAGCAGACCAUUACUUUCUUUCUCCCAUUCGUCGCCACCAACCUUCAACAAAUCACGCUGUGAACCUUUGUUUUAACCAAUAUCGGUAAGUUUUUUUUUUUAGUUUACUGUAUUAUUUACAAUAUUCAAUAGAGAAUUUUUGUUUUUUUAGUUCCUUAAUAUUGACAUAUGCGUUUAUAUAUUUUCAUUAACAUCACCGUCAACAUAGUCAUCCAAGAUUCUCUUCAUAUUGCAAGUAUGUUGUUUCUAUAUAGUACGCAUUAAAUAUUAUGGUUUGCUGAACCUUGUUGACUAAUAUUGUAUUGUCGAAUGGUAUUGUAUAAUAUUGAGGGUCUGAAUAAUAUUUCAUGCUGAAUGGUUUGCUAAACCUUGUUGUCUGAUAUUAUUUUGUUGAAUGGGUUUGAAUGAAAUUGAGAGCUGAAUGGUGUUUCUGAAUGGUUUGCUGAAGGGUGUGUAUGAGCACAUUAAUGAAUGAUGUGCUAAAUGUUGUUUCUAUACAUAGUAUGGUAUUAGUUGUAUUAAAUUAAGUACAAUGAUCAAUUUAGAGGGUCAUAUUAUGUAAUUCGUAUAGUUAUUAUCAAUAUUACAGGUAAUAUAAACUCCGAACAACAUCAUUCUUUUUCUAAUGAACAUGCAGAAUAAAGAAAUGUAGGCCAAAAAAGAAAGAAAAUGGGCUUAAAUAAACAAAUCAAAGUGACGGACACAAAAAUUCAUAUUGACUUCAAUCAAAGUGGGCAGUCUGUGUCGAAAAGAGCUGUCAAGAUGGCUACUCGUAUUGGAGCCAUCAUCCGUUAAAAGAUUUCAAUUACGUACACUGAUUGGCAAUGAGUUCCUGAUGAUUUAAAGGAUGAGAUAUGGCAGUUCGUUGUGGUAUGUUUAUUCAACUAUUUUGUAAAAUUUGUUAUAUGAUCAUUUAAUUGAAAUUCAAUGUGUUGAUACUAUUUGUAUUAAUUUAUUUAAGAACGGUUCGACAUUCCAAUUGAGUGUCAAAAAAUUAUGUGGCAAUCUGCUAGGAAAGCUUUCAGAGACUUUAAAAGUAGAUUGACAACCCAAUAUAUUUUACCGCUGGCUGGUGAAGGUGAUAUUUUGGCUGUUCCACCUAUGGCAUAUGAAGAUGUCACAAGUGUUGAAGAUUGGAUAAAUUUUGUUCAAUAUCGACUUUCAGAAGAUUUUUUGGUAUGCAAACCCAUUACCAAAUUAGUCUAAGUUUAUAAAUCUUUAUGCAAUAUAGCCUUUUAUCUUCAUAUAUGAUUUACGUAAUUUCUUGAUUUUGUAAAAAAUCAAAGAACAACAUUAGGACAUUCAGUCAAACAGCAAUAUCACCAUCGGACAGUAAGAAAAGGAUAUGCAAAUGUGAAAUAUGAGCUUGUAUGUAUUCGCACACUUGUUUUAUACUUAUUAAUGAAUAUUUAUGAACAUUCAUUUCAUAUAUUUUGAUUCUUUUAUUACGGUAAUUUAAUAGGAAUCAGUGAGUUCAAACACAAAAGUUUUCAUAUGGGAUGUCUAAAAACAAGGACAUUUACGGAAAGAUGGAUCCUUCACGGAUGAAGCAACCGAGAAAAUGGUAAAAAAGAUUGUAUGUAUAACUACUUUUUUGAUAUAAUGUAUGACUGGCAUUGUGGUUGUAUGCAUGAAUGUAUACUAGUUUGUGUAGAUUUGUUCUAACAGCCUAACUUAUUAUUAUCUUUUAGGAUGAUUAUGCUGCCAAAGUAAAAUCUAGUGAACUGACAACCCAGUAUAGUGAAAAUCCUUUGUCUUUAGCAUUAGGUUCUAAAGAAUGGCCUGGUUAGGUUCGUAGGGUUGGUAAAUUUGUCUUGCCAUCAACGUAUUUUGGUAAACAACCAAAAAUCCCAUGAAUGAGAAAUGCACAAUAUGAAGCAAUAAUUGAGCAACAACAGCAACAAAUUAAUGACCAAGAGCAAUGCCUCAAUGACUAACAGCAAAGACUCACUACUUUGAAGUCCAUGUUGGCAGCAAUGCAGUAGGUUAUGCCUGUGCCUCGACCUGAUAGCAUCAUUCCCGUACGAGAAGCUUCUGUUGCCAGUCCCAUCAUCUAUUACCACCCAAAAAGUAUGAUAUUGUUUAUAAUUUGAAUAUUAAUUUGUUUAUUAUAUUAAUUGAUUUAGUUUUAAUACUUAUAUUUUAUUAAAUAUUAUAGGAAGAUGUUCAAACUCAAAGUCUGACCCUUGUCUAGGCUUCCAUGGAUGAGUUAACAAAAUAUUCGCUGGAGAAUUGUGCCAAUGAAAACUUCAUAUCCAUUGAGUCUGAGGAAGACUUAUUUGAUAAACAAUCAUUUUCUUUCAUUGGUGUAAAUAAGGUGAAAGAAUUUUGUGAAAUGGAUAAAUUAUCAGCUGCUGAAAUCGUUGCUUAUAUAGGGUUAGCUUAUAAAUACAAAUAUGCACAUCCAAUAUGUAGUAAGUUAGUAGUAGGGUGUAAUACUAACCAACAGUGUUGAUUGUCAUUGUGUAGCUUCCUAUAUAGAGAGCUAAAGGAGAGACAGUUGACAAACAGAUUUAGAUUCAUUGACCUCAACUUUAUUAGUGAACAGAGUGACACGAUUGUAUAUUGUGCUAAUCAUGUGAUCCUAUGCAUGAAAAUACCGACUGAUUAUUAUUUGCUCCCGUAUAAUGCGUAGUAAGCUAUAUUCCAACCUUAUUUACUCCAACCUACUCUAUUUUAUGAUCUGAUGCGUAUUCUGAGUAUAUCAUUGUUAUUAUUUUGCAGUCGUCAUUGGAUGUUUAUUGUGAUUGAUACCAAAUCCUUAAUGUCAUACUUUCUUAAUUCAGUUAAUCUAACGGCGAUGCCUAACCCUGAUAUUCAAACUUUUAUAAAGAGGUUUUAUAAUACUUUAUUAUAUUAUAUAUGUUUUGUUUGUUUAUAAGAAAUUUUAUUUAUGUUCCCACUAAUUUUUUUCUUUUCAAUUUAGGAUAAUAUCUGUAUUCAAUAAAAAGAUAAAGAAAUCGAAAUGGGUGUCAUUACCGGUAAAUGUCAAAUUUAUUCUUUUAAUGCUAAGUUUGUUUAGAUAAAUAUUUUUUAGAUCGACUCAAUUUAAUUUUUAGGCACUUCGUCAACUCGGUAAUACUGAAUGUGGAUAUUAUGUCUUUCGUUUUAUGUGGGAGAUAGUGUUACAUGAUUUUAUGACCACACCAUUGAAGUUAGUAUAAAUUUCAUAAACUCGUUAUAUAUUCAAAAAAAUAAAAUGGUACAUUAUGUUCUCAUUUCUUAACAUUUACUUAUGAUAUUUUUUUUUAGUGAGAGGGUAAAGAAAGCUUCACGGAAGAGGAGCUGGAUGAAGUCUGUAAAGAAUGGUGUAAUUAUGUAUUGUCAUUUAUCAAUUUUUAUAAACCUUCAGGUUAGACAUUGUUAGUUGAAUGUAAAUAUAUAUGGAACAAAUUGUUAUAAUGUUUUUAACAUGUCAUGUUGAAUGGAAACUUUAAGUUUGUACAUUGGGGGUAUUGGUUUAAUAUUAUUGUUACACUUAAUAUGAAUAACUAUGUGUACUUAAUAAAUUACUGAGUACGAUUAUUUCAAAAAAGUAUAUUAAUAAAACACCGUUAUUAGUUUUAAUUUCGGAUGUGUAGUUCAUUUUUUGAAAUACAACAAUGUUCAUUAUGCAAAUUCCAAAAUGUAAUUCAUAGUAUCAGAUAUAUAAAUCAAAUAUUUUUUUGGGCAUAAAUAUGCAACUGACAGCAAACAUUUUUUUUGGGCAUAAACCUACAAUUGACUUCACAUAUAAAGUAUCAAUUAUGUUUUUUUGAUACGAUUAAUGAAGACAUUUUUAGUAAGAAAACGCCUUCAAUCACCUCCGUAAGAAAACAUUGAAGGCAUUUUUUUACUAAAAACGCCUUCAAUAAUCCCCUAGAAAAUUAUUGUCUGGAAUAUUAAAGGCAUUUUGGAUAAAAAACACCUUCAAUAAUACCAACUAAAAAUUAAUCGAAUGGAUUAUGAAUGACAUUUUCCUACAAGUAAUGCCUUCAACAAUCCGUAACAAAAUGUUUAUGAAUGUGUUUUUAGAUAUACCCGCCUUCAAUAAUCCAACUAUUAAAAUUUAUCGUUGAGAAUAUUAAAGGCGUUUCGAGCUAAAAACGCCUUCAACUAUCCUAUCCAAGUUUUGUCUGUGUAAUAAUGAAGGCGUUUCUUACAAAAUCGCCUUUAAAAAUUAAAAAAAAAAUUACUAAUUGGAUUAUAGAAGGCGAGUUCGGCUAAAAACACCUUCAAGAAUCGACUCAAUAUUUUUCUUAUCAAUUAUUAAGGGCGUCUCUCAACAAAAAACAUCUUCAAUAUUCUAUGAAAAUUUUUUUAAAGCAAUUGGUGAAGACAUUUUUGCCAAGAAAACGUCUAGAAUAAUAAAUAAUAAAUAAUCUAUACCUAAAUCCAAAAAAAAGCUAAAGGACGGAUCGUACCAACAACCUUAUGGUAAACAUUCGUACUAUCAAAACAAUUUAAUAAGCUUAAUAUUGAAUGUACUUAUGAAGAAAAUAAAUUUAAUAAGCUUGAAAAAAUUUUUGGUCCAAAUAUUAAAGGCGUUUCUUAUAAACAACGUUUGCAUUAAUCUCAUACAAUUUUUUAUGACGUAAUUAUUGAAGGUGUUAUCUGUCAAAAAUAUGCCUUAACUAUUGACCGAAAUUUUUAAUAAAAAAUAUUCAAGGCAUUUUAGUCGAAAAACGCCUCUAAUAUCAAGUCUUGAGUGGCGUUUAUAAGUAACAACGCUGCUAUUUGAAUAUUUAGUGGUGUUUGGAUAAUAAAUGCCUGAAGUUUUAUAAAAACACGGAAGCUAACGAUCUUUGUAAGUGAAAGACCGCUAUAAAACUGCCACUAAUACGUCAUUUUGUUGUAGUGGGAAACUUAGUUACAAACUUUCCUACUUUUUUCUUUUUUCAUUUUUUUUAACAUUUAACACAAAUAAAUCAAACAAUUACAACUUUAGAUAAAUUGAGAUGUUUACGGUACGAAAUUUGUAAAAAUUUUACAUGUAGUUUACAUUUAUAAGUGAUGAAUUUUUAUAUAAUUUUUUAAUAUUAUUAAAUAAUUAUAAUUUUAUAGGAAAAAAAUUGUAAAAUUACAUAAAAAGGGAUUUCUUUUGAAGAAAAAAUCAGUUGGUAAGAAUUUAGUAAAACCAAGAACGAAAACAUAAAUUUAUCAUUGUAAAAUAAUAUAUGUAUGAUCAAAUUUCUUUGCAUAAACAAGAUUUUAGAUUUCGGUCAUGCUUUUUUUUUUUUUUUCAUAAUUAAGUUUUCUUUUAUUGAUUAUAUACCAACCAUGAAGAUAGAAACUCUUGCAAGAUUUGUAGACCCCAUUUGAUGUAAAGCUUUGUUUGGAUGAUAGACGGUUCAAUCUCAAAACGAACGAAACAAUGAAAAACAAAUCUAAAUAUCAAAACUACGUGAUGAAAUGAUAAAAAAAAAAAAAUUUCUUGUCAGCCUUCCAAAUGAAAAGCAGUAGCCAUGAAAUUUUGUUGAUGUUUCAUCGAUGUGGUCCUGGCUUAACCACAUCUCAAACAGGAAAUUGAUUGGUUAAAGGGAAAAGAAAAGAAAUUUCAUGGAAUCAAUUGCUAGGAGCAGGAGCGUGUAAAAUAUGGUAAAAAAAAUCAAAUCAAAUCACAAACAGAGUUAUUAAGAGUCGUGAAAUAUCACAUGGAAAUUAGUUCCAUUUAAUCACGAGAGAAUAACAAAGGCCUGCUUGCUAGCUGCUGCUAUUGUUGUUUGGCAUAAAUCCAAAACUAUGCAAAUAGAAGUUUGAAAAUUUCUUUAUUAUAUUGUUAAACUCAUAACAGCUUAGAACUCUCUUUCUCUAUUUUUUUAAACUAUAGUUCUCUUUUGGUUCCAUAUAUGGAACUAAACUGUAUAUACAAAACUACAGAGAUGAUAUGACCAACUGCAGAAGCUCAAAAUUUUUGCCCAUUGGACCCAACAAAAGUUUUGCUCUUUUUUCUUAUGUUUUCAGCUGGAUCUCUUUAGUUUUAACCAAAAAAAAAGAGCAACCCAAUAGUCUUUAAGAAGCUCCUACUCCAAGGAAAUCAAUGAAGGGCAGGUUGAUCUUCUCAUUUCCAUUUCCACUUUCCCCAGACAUGGAGUGGUUGGUCCUAUUUGUGCCCACUGACUCAGCUGGUGAAACUUCUGAGUUUGAAUCUGAUGAGUGAGUAGAUUGGUCCACACCCAUAACCACUCCCAUUGGUCCUUGUUGGUAAAAUACAUUACCGGUGCCAUAAAACUUGUCAAAAUCCCCAUUUCCUCUGGUCACAACUUUUUGACCUGAUGAACCUGCAAAACACAAAAUUACAGAGCAUUUAUUUAAUAAAUUAUUAUAAGAUAAAAUAAAACAAAAUCAACCCAACAUGAAAAAUAUAAGCAUUGUACAAUUGAAAAGCAAAUGAUCAUUACAACCGUUGGUAAAUAUAGGAAAAGUAAGCAUACCCAUUUGGUGAACUGGACUAAAAAAGGUGCAAACUCCAGCGGGCACUUUAGCUGAUGAGGGAGUGAGGGAUAGAUCAGUGCAAGUAGAGGCAGAUUCAUCUAUGUUGCUAGAAAUGAUUGAUUGAUCACUGCAAGCAUUGUUUUGAAUAGUCUCAUCCAAUCCUUUAGGGAGGGCCUGAGAGGCAGAAGAAGAUGAAGGCUUUCUCCUUCUAUAAAUGCUUGAUUGCUCUCUAUGUUUCCUAGCCAUGAUCACAUGCCAGUGGUUCUUUACUGCGUUAUCAGUCCUGCCAGGAAACAGUCUAGCAAUCAUUGCCCAUUUGUUACCGUACAGCCUAUGUGCAGCUAAGAGCCUCUCCUCUUCUUCCUCAGUAAAAGCUUUCUUGUUAAUACUUGGAUCUAGCUGGUUAAACCAUCUUAAUCUACAACUCUUCCCUGCCAAUCAUUCAACAAAAAACAUCCAUUUAGCAAAAAGAUCAUUAGACUUUUACAAAACUAAUGAUAGCAAAAUGGAACUUUAUUUGAUUUAACUAAUCAGAUUCAAAGCAUUGUUAAGAUCUUCCCUUUAAAAUGUAGAACAAAAGCAAAAAAGAAAAACAACUUUCUCCUUUUCAAGUGAAAUAAAUCCAAAAACAAAAAAAGACUUUCAUAGAAUGUUGAUAAUUUUUGUUUGACAGAAAAUUUUGAGUUACCUGAUCUUCCUUCGAGAUGUUCAGCUAUCAAAUUCCAAUUUUGAGGCCCAUAUUGAGCUACAAGCUCCUUCAGCUUAGAAUCUUCAGCUGGUCUCCAAUGACCUCUAGCACAAAGCUUAGUGUGUCCAAUUUUGGUCCCACCAAGAGCACCAGAGUUCUUAUUACUUUCAUCUUCACCACUUAAAUUCAAAGACAGUCCACUUUUUUCAACACCCAAAAACCCAACUUUUCCAUCACAAGCAGCAACUCCCUUACUUCCCCUGCUUUCUGGCGGCUCAAAGCUCAAACAUUUAUUGCUUUGUUCCAUUAAAGAGCUUGAAAUCUGAAACCCCAUUCGAGAGUUUUUUGUAUCUCUCUCUAUUGGAUGAGAAAAAAUAGCAGGAGGAGCUAAAAAGUUCAUCUCUUGAACCACCCCAUUAUAGCAUUUAAAAUCGUUAGUUAGAAUUUGUAAACUCAUUGUUAUCAAAAACCAGGAUAAACCCAGAAAAGAAAACCAAGAAAAAAAACUGUUAAGAGGACUAAGAAGAAAGGAACAGAUGAUCAAAGAAGAAAGAAGCUAGGUAUCUCUGUCAGCCAUUUGAGAAGAAUGUUUGGGUAGAGGGAAAGGAGAGGAAAGAAAAGGAAAUAGGAGGAAGAGAGAGAGUUGAGAAUUGAGAGAGUUAGUCUCUUGUUAAUCAAAUGUGUGGGGUAGAGAAGAAUCAAAGGAAAACAAGGUUUAAAAUGGCAAGGGAUUUUAGUUAUUUUCACUGCUUGGAAAAAGCAAAGUUAGCAUUAGCAAAAAUAAAAACAAAAAGAAGAGAAGAACCCACACGAUUCUUGCUCUCUUGUUCUUGCAUUUAAAAAAGCAAAGAUAAAUGAGGUCAGGGCAGGGUCUUAGGCGCCCAUGUCAGAACGAGGACUGAGUAGGAGACCAAUUUAUUUAUUUAUUUAUUAAAGAAGUAAAAAAAAUAAAAAAUGAAAGUCUGGGGCUUUGCAUGCAACUCGAGAACCGCUCGUGUGGGUGGGUGGGUGAGUGUGUCUCUCUUUGGUUUUGGAUGUGUUGGUACUGAUGUUGGCCGUGCCUCGCUUUCUUUUUCUCAUCGGGCUUUGGAACAGCACCAGAAUCUGUUUGUCUCUUUCUCAAACCCUUUUGCUUCUUUUUUUUUUUUUUUCCAAAUGAUAAAAUUUAAAAUAAAAACCGAAAAAACAAAAAAUUUCAAAGUGAAAUGAGAUUUUUUAAUUCAAAUGGAAAUGGUUAAUUUAUUUUUUAAAGAUGAUUCUCGGAAAAUUAAAAUUCAAUUUACAAUGUUUGUAAAAUUUUUUAAUUUCUAAACUAAGGCUUUUAUGUCAAAAAAAAUUUUAAAAUUUUAAUGUUGUCCCCACUACUUAUUCUCUAUUUAUUUAUUUUUUUACUUUUUUUUACUAAUUUUGAUAGCAUAAGGGCCGAUUUGCUCAAAUUUAGUUAAUUAUUUUGGAUUUAAAUUAUUUGAAGUUCUAUUAUUCUUGAGUUAAAAUCAUUUAUAUUUUUAUGUAGUUAAAACAAUUAUAGUCUUUUCGUCUCACAAAUCAAACUUGAAUUACCAAAUUAGAGAUUUUUCAAUACCAAAUUGUGUCUAACAUUGAGUUUUUCAUUACGAAUUAAUAUGGAGCAUGUUAUUCUUUCAAAACUAAAAAGAAUGACGAUAUGGCCAAAAAGACAUGAGAGAUUCCCAACACAGGCAUAGAUUUUCCCAUUUCAACAAGGUAUCCUGGAUGUUAGUGCCUCUUUGGAAAUUAAACUUAUUAACAGUAGAUUAAUUAUAUAUCUUUAAUAUCUAUUGCUGUGUCAAGUUUUUUUCAUAAAUAUGCACCCAACACACAUUUUUCAUUUAGUUAUAAGUUAGAAGUAUAAUUAUAGGUAAAGCCGUCUUGAUUAGGCCUACUCACUCAAAAGCCAAUUUGAGUUCAUUUAAAGUCACAACUUUAGAUUUUCUCUUCUUUCUACAAUGAUGUACUUGAGUAUUGAUCAAAGCCAUGCUUUUUGCUUUGAUACAUGCAUAAAUGUACAUGAAUUUUCUUAUUUGUCUUUGUAAAAGUAUCAUAAAUCUUAAUGGGGGACAACAAAAGCAAUACAAAAAAAAAAAAAUUACAAUCUUUUUUUUCCUCAUUUACGAGACGGAGCUUUUGCAUGCACAUGAAAGGGAAUGAAACUCGUAAGCAACAAAAAACAAGUGGUAAUAUUAUGUAAAAGGUUGGUGCAAAACCCCAUAAACUUGAAGAUUUUUUUUUUUCAAAUGAUUCCCACCACUUAGACCCAUCACCAAACUUAAAAAUAUAUUAUAAAAUAUUUGUUCUCAAAUUUCAUAGAUACGAAGAUAAUUAAUUAAUUAAGAAAGUGAUUGUUGAUAAUAAAACCAAGUGCUUGACUAGUUUUUCCACAAUCAAAAAUAGUAUUCUUUUUGGAUUAGGGGAAUCAAAUAGUUUAAUUAUUAUAGCCUUCUUUUUAUUUUCUUUAUCAUUUCAUUGAAAAACAAACAAAUAAAUAUUUGUUACUUUCUUUUUUGGUGGGGUGAGUCAUUCAACUUCCCUUUUCUUUUCUUUCUUUUGAUUGAUUUUUAGGUGACUUUAAUUAUUUUUUUUCUUUGUUGAUUCCUUUUGACUGUUGAAAUCAUUGUCCCACUUUUAUGCUUUCAUAAAAUAUUUUAUAUUUUCAAUUAAAAAGCUGAGUAUUUUAUAUUUAUUGAUUAAUUCUUUUGAUAUUAGCUUUGAUCUUGUUAUAAAAAGCAAACAUUGAAUGAUGACACAUGUUGUAUAGUGACUCAGAUUCACUAAGAUAGCUUGAACAACGUUAAUAUUCUUUUCUUAAAUAUUAAACUAUGUAAAUUUCUUCAUUUUUUCUAUGGACAAAAGGUAACCCAUUAAAUUUUUAGAGAUUAAAAUUCAACUUACAAUACCAAAAUGUAUAGUUUAAUUUAAUUAAAUGGUAAGCAUGAGAUAAAAAAAGUUGGUGAAUGGUGGCAAUUGGAAUGCAUGCUUCAAAUUCAAAUUUUAAUUUAGUUAAUUCAUAUAAUCACUCUUAAAAAAUGACGGCCAACAGAUUUAAAAUUCAAAUUUCAAUACUUAUAAUUUUUUCUUUUAUUAUAAUAAUGAAGUCUCUUUUGUACAAAAAAUACAUGUCUCUAUAGAUCUAAAAACCAUAUUCUUUGUAUAAAAUUAUUAUUGGAUUAAUUUAGUCUCCUUUAACCAAAUUAAUUAGAAAAUAAAUAUUCUUUUUUCUUUAACUUGGAUAGUUACAUUCAUUAUUCAUAAAAGAACAUAAUUAUUUGGUAUGAUCUAUAAAUUAUAAAAAUUAAUAGUGAAUAAGUUUCCACUGGCCAAUUUUCCUGCAAAGCUUAGUCAUAUAAUAUGUAUGUUUUAUCACAUUUUUUAAAUGGAAAAGUUAGGAGUGAAUAGAACAAGUGGGAAUCAGGGCAAGGGGUUGUGAAAGGAAACAACAGUUCACAUGCAAAUCAAUGAUGUAUAACAUAUGAAUUAGGAUAUCUACAUAUAAUAUUGAAACCGAAUUGAUUUAAUAAAUAGACAUAGUAAAAACAAAUUAGUAACUAAAAAAGGUGAAUCAAACCUCCCAUUUUGAUUAUUAAAUUUGUAAUAUUUAUUGCAUGAAACUAAAUUGCAUUUGGCACCAAAGAUGAAGGUCAAAAUUUACAAUUUUACCCCAGAUACUGUAAUUUUAUUUUAUAUUUAAAAUUAUCAAAAUUUGAACUUGAUCACAAAAUUAAAAGUCUAAUACUCUACCAAAGGUUUACAUAACUGUUAAAAAAAAUUAGUAAAAAGCUUAAAAUUAAAACUAAGACUAACCAAAAAAAAAAAAAGUGAUGUGGUAAUAAAUUUUAGAGUAUCUUGUUCUAAAAAUGGAGAAAGCUAUCACACUUAUCAUGAAUGCAUGGGAAACCACUGUCACAAGAAAAAUGGCUAUGCAAAUUAGGUUGUAACGUAUUUAGAGAGACUCUGUGUUUGUUUUUAUUUGUUUCAAAAGUAAUGAUGGGUUUGUUUGUUUGUUUGACUGAGGAAAAGAUCUUUGUGGGUCUUGGGGGAGACAGCAAAACCAAAUAAAUUCUAAUACCAAAUAUUAAUAUUUUCUAUAAAUAAUAAAUUCACACCCCCAAAUAUUUCCUCUUUUAAUAAACAGUCAUACACAUCAUCAUCACUCGGAUCUCCAUCACACGCAAAUCUCAUCUUUUUCCUUAUUUGACAAAAUUCUUCAUGUUAUGAAGCAAAGAGCAAAGGGAAAAGAAAACCCAAAAAUUGCAUGUACAAUAUGAGGCCAUUAUGCCAAUUGCUCACGUUUAGGCUUGCUUUGAAGGAUCUUCUCAAAAAAAAAAAAAAAACUAAAAAAAGUUUGCUUUGAAGGAUUGGGAAGGAAAGUCAAGGGUAGAGCUCUUUUUGAUAAGUCCAAGUUACAUAAAUGAUUCAAUAAAUAUUUGGUACAAUUAGAAAGGAUUAAUCAAGGUAUUAUUGUAAUGUAUUAAUCAAACUAAUUAUUGGAAAUUCGGAACUUAAUUCAAGUUGUUUAUAUGAGUACUCUUAAUAGUAAUAUUUAGCCGAUUUAAAAUUUAAAAUUUAAUAUAUACAAUCUUUUCCAUUAUCUUCAAACUAUAUCCUUUUCAUAAAAAAAAAAAAAAAAAACUAAUUUUUAGUAGUCGUGUCUUGUUGAAAGCAUAUAUCACCUAAAAUAAUUAUAUUAUAAUUAACUAAUCACAAUUUAAAUUUAUGUGAGGUUCAUUAAAAUUUUAUAUAAAAUUCACACUUAUAAGUGAUAAAUUUUUAUAUAAUUUUUUAUUAUAAUUAGAUAAUUUUAAAAUUAUAAUAAAAAAAUUACAAAUAAAAUGUACCCGAGUUCUAUUAUUACUUAUUAUGGUGGUAGCAGAGAAUUAGGUGGAGACAAUUUUUUAUAGGUUUAAAUUUGAAUUUAAAUGAGAAGUUAAGUGAUAUUAUUGAUUAAUUUUAACUUUAAUAAUUUGAAAAAACCAAAAUUUUAUUAAAGGAGUCUACCAAUAAGACAUUUCAGCAUUUAGAAAUCGAAAGUCUAUUUUACAAGUUUCGAAUUUACAGUUAUGAAAAAAUGAAAGAGAUAGUGUCAAACCAGUUUUAAUUAUUUUUUACUAAUUGAAAGUAGAUUUUUCAAACUCAAAUUUAAAUAUAUAAUUUUUUAGUCAUUCAAAGGGCAGAGCCUUACAUUAAAGGGGAGAGAGAAGAUUGGGAUUCAAACCUCAAUCUUGAUAUUUUCUUUAAGAUUAUCUUGAUCAUUAAAUCAAGUAGUUGAAGAUAAACUCAAAUUUAAAUAUAAAAAAUAUAAAUGAAUUAUUAAAUUAAAUGUUUAGAAAUAUAAUUUUUUAUUUAUAUAUAAUGACUUUUCACAUUUGGCAGUCCUUAACUUCAAGAUUAGAAUCUGAUAUAAAUAUGGAAAUAAUUUUUUUUCCUUUUUCCAGGAAAAGGAAAAAAAAAGAAACCCUCCAAAAAGUGGAAAACUUGAAGCAAACAAAUAAUAAAACAAAGGAAAGGCAGAGUCUGAUACAAAGAAAAGAUCAAAUCACAAAAGAAAAGUGAGUGAAAGAAAGAUCUCGUUUUCAUUGCCCCAAAUCUCUGUAACUGAAGCCAGGAAAAGGAACUCCCACAAGAAUCCAAAACCCAAAGCAACCUCACAUCAAAUUAAAAGAGUGAGAAAUAAAUAAAAUAAAAUAAAAUCUCUAACUACAUUUCAUGCAUUUCAAUGUCAAGGGCAAACUCUGUUUCAUAUUAAAAUAUUUACAUAAAGGUAUUCGUAUAUUUGAUUUAAUAAAAAAAUAUAUUUUUAUAUAUAAAAAGUAAUUUUUGAAUUACUUUUUAAAUAAAAAUUUUACAUAAAUAUUAUUAUGUGAUUAUCGAUUCUACAUGAUUUCUUUUUCAUUCAUUCUCUCUUGUGUUUAUGUGAUUAACAUAAGAUUUAUUGAUAAAUUAUUAAAUUAUUAAUUUCAGUCAUUAAAUUUUUAUUUUUAAUAAUUUUAACUUUUAAAUAUAAAAAAUAAUUGUUUGUACCAAUGUUUAUGCUCCCAUCAUCAAUUAAUUUAAGUAACGCACAUAAGAGUGUUUUUUUAUUAAAGAUUCGGUCAAAUUAAAAUUUCAAAAUGGAUAUUACAACGGUUAAAAAUUUAUACUCCUCCUAGGAAUUUUCAAAAAAAAUCUGGAGACAAAUGAAAUCAAAUUCAUCAGAUAAAAAAAAAAAUUACACUUCAUUAAGUAAUAUUUUAAAAUUGACGAAUUUUUUAUCAAAUUAAAAUAUAAGAGAAAUUACAAUUAUAAUCAAAUAUUAUAUCUAUAUAUAAUAUAUAACAGAAUAAUCAAUUAACAAAUUAAAAUAUAAUUAAACAUUUAAAUUGAAUUAAAACCUUCAUGAUUUUUAAACUUUUCUCUUACCACUAAACUAAAAUCACAAUAACAAUUGACGAAUAAUUUUUAAGUUAUAAUUAUAAUAAAUAUUACAUUCAUAUAAUCAAUCAAAUAAUUAUCUAUUGUAUUAUAAUAAAAUUACAAUAAUUGAAAAAUUAAUUAAUAAAUUAUAACAUAAUUAAAUAAUCAAAACCAUAUAUAAUGAGAUUUAACUUAAAAUUUAAAAUUUUAAAGACUUUCUCCUUAUCAUUAAAUUAAGACUUCAUUAGUAUUGACGGAUUUUUUUAAGUACAAAAGAAAAUUGGUCAAAAAAUUUAAAAUAUAAUCAUAAAAUUGUUAUUAUCUAGUCCAAAAAACCAUGCCUCAUCACACAUACGUUACUCUCGAGCACACAUUUAUGUCUCAUGUGAAGAAUCAGAAGUUAAACAGUUACAACACACACGUUCUAAUACUCUUGUCAACCUACGCUCCAUUAUUAAAAAAAAAAAAACAAAACUAAUAAAUGUGUUUAUAUUGUAACGUAAAAGAGAGUUGCUAGCUUUUUAAGAUUUAUUGUCAUUAUUGAAGUUUUUAUUAUUUUAAUAUAUUUUUAAGUUCGAACAACGGAUAUCCAUAGAUAUUGGUUAAGAAUAAUUAAAUAAUUAAAUUUAAAAUUUAAUUUUAAUAAUUUAUGUAAUUAUUUUAUCAAAUUUAUAAAUUAAAUCUCAAUAAUUAUAACUUAUUUUUUAAAAUUACAAUCUCAUUUGUAUAAAAAAUAUUAUUGAAAAACAUAUUAAUUUAUUUAAUAUUAUCUUUUUAUUAAAUUCAAAAGCAAAUAAUAUAUUAUUUGCAUAAUUUUUUAAAAAAAAUCAUUUAUUCCAUAAUUAAUUAAUGUUUUUUUAAAGUAUAAAAAAAAAAAUAAUGCUUUUUUAAGUGGGUUUUGCCUCGUGCAUGAAGUUUGUCCCUUUGUGGAAACCGUUUUGAAACUUUGGAGUUUUUCGAGGUCGGAAGGGGAACUUUUAUGACGGAAGCAUUCAGAGUCUCUUACACGAGCGGGUGGAUCGCGCCCGAGCACGUGUACGGUGAUUUGGAGGUUGUUCUUGAAAAGAGGAAGAAACCGUAGUAGCGAUUUUUUGUGAGGAAAAGAUUAGCCUAUAAUAAUUACGUUAUAAUUUAUUAAUUAUAAUUUUAAAAUUUUAAAUAAAAUUCAUGUGACAAAUUUUUAUAUAAUUUUAAAUAUAAUUAAAUAAUUAUUAGAUUAUAAAAAAUUGUAACUGAAAUGCAAUAGGAAUCGAAACACCUUAACAAAUUUUGGAUUGGGAAGCCCAUCUAUUUUUCAGCUUGAAUAAAAAAAUUAAAAUAUUAUAACGGUGAAAGAGUGAAAAGUAUGAAAAGUAAGUAAUUUGUAAGUUUAAAAAGCUUUCAUGAAAAAAAAAUUUAUAAAUUUUUUUGUGGAUUGGUUGUUUGUCUUGGUUUUAGAAAUUUAAUAAUUUUUCCUACUUCUAAAUUUUUUUUAGAUAAAGUAAACAUUUUUUUUUUAGUUUUUACCCUUAUCUAUAUUUUAGACUUCAUUCAAAUUAUUUUGAUAAUAGAUGUGAAAUUCAACAAUUUAGAAUGAUUUUAUUUAUUUUGCUAAAUUGAUAAGAGACUUACGUCACUGACAAAGAGUCAGAGAAGCUUUUAUAAUUAUUAAGUAUGAGGUUUUAGUUUUGUUAUGUGCCAUUGUUUUUCAACUUUACAUUGAUAUAGUUAAUUUUUGUAGUUUAUUACUUAUUUUUUAUCUUGAAUAUUAAAUGGUAAUGUUAUAUUUAUUAAGGAUUGUUUUAUUGUGACAUAAUUUUUAUUCAUAAAUAUAAGUGUUUAUGGAUCGAAUUGGGUUUGAGUAGGGUUUAUAUUUAAUAUUAAUAAUUUAUAGAUUUAUUUAGAUUUGAUUUAGUCCAAAAUUUGGAUCUCAAAAUUUUUUAAAACUUUAUUUAAAUUAAAAAAAUUAAAUUUCAAACAUACUCAUUAAACUUAAUUUAUAUAAUAAAAAAUUAAAAAAAGAUUAAAUUAAGUUUCAUAUGAUUAUAUUGAAUUCAUAAAUAUGUAAAUAUUAAAAAUAAAAAUCAUAUGUAAAUUAAAAAAAUUAUAGAAAAGUAAAACUUAAAUUUAAUAAAAUAUUUAAUUUUUAUUUUUAAUUUAUAUAUAUGUAAAUUAAUUUAUAUAUAAUUCAUAUAUAUAUAAAUAAAAAUUUGGAUCAGAUUAGACUCGAACUUUAAAUAUUUUGUAUAAGAUUGAUCCAAAAUUUAAACAUAUUUGAAAAUUAUGUUCAAAUUUAUUUAAAAAUUUUUAAUAUUUUAUCUAAAAUUUUAAAAAACUUGAAUUAAUUUUUGAAUUUAGAUAAAUGAUUCGAUUUUUGAAUAAGUUUAUUCAUGAAUGCAAUUUUUAUCAAAAAAAUUGUAAUGUUUAAUUAAUAAUUUUAUAUUUUACCAACAUAAUUAAUUUUAAAUUCUUUCCAUAAUUAAGAUUAGAUAACUAAACUCAAAUGAGUUUUCUUUACUUCGUAAAUGAAGACGUACAAGAUUGAUCUAUAAUGUUAUAUUUUAAAGUAGUUAAUAUAUAUAUUUUUAAAAAAGUACAACAACUCGAAUUUAAAUAGGAUCUGUACGACCCCAUGUCAAUCUUAACAGAGAAGUUAAGGCCAAAAUCAUCAAAACGAACAACAAAACAGUGUGGUGAUUAAUUGUCACCAUUAAUAAUCACAAAGAAUUGUUUUUUUAUUAAUUUUUUGUGGUUGGUGCCGGUGUAACAAUCCAAGGAAAAAUUUACGAGAUGACACUUAGAAUUUUAGUUUGGUCAUGUUUCUUUUUGAAACACAAAAGGACAUACAAAGCAGCCUUUGUUGAAAGAGGAGCUAAGAAAAGUAUCAUCUAUAUUUUACUACUUUAUUUGACUGACCCUUUUUUUCUGAAAGGAAUAUUUGGGUGAUAAGACUAGCCUACUCUAUAACAACAAACUUUGCAAUCAAACGAGGGAAAAAGGAAUCCAUAUAUAUAUAUUGUUAUAAUUAUUGAAUUUUUUUGGUAGAUGUGAUCAUUUAUAUAUUUAUAUAUAUAUUAAUUUAUUUAUAUUCAAUAAAUAUAAAAUACAAAAAUUAUUAUAUCAUAAUUUAUGUUAAAAUAUUAAAUAUAAAAUAUAUAUUUUAAUUCUUAUUAAAUUUAUAUAUUUUUUGUUAAAAUUUUAAAUUAUUUUUUUAUCAUAUUUAAAGUUAUAAGAUAUACUUUUGAACUUUGGCUUAGUUGCCAAAGUUGCCAAAGUGGCAAAACUGGUUGUUAUUCCAUGGAGCAACCAUAUUGAUCGAGGAGAGACUAUAAGAUUAAAUUAUUGUAAACACAAAUAAAUAAAAUAAAACUUGAUAUAUAGAACCUCCUAAAAUAUCUUAGUGAUGAUCUGGUAAGAAAAUUUCCAAUAUCACAUAUUAAUCAAUCACUAAUGCAUUACAUUGUACCAAAAACAAAGCCUCCAUAGAUGCAGCAAUGUUGCUUCGUCUUGUUUUUACCAUAAUAUAUAGUUUUUCUUAUCUAAAGAAAUCAAAAUCAUGCGAAUAUGUACAAAAAAAAAAAAUCAUAAAACACGGAUCCUUGUACACAAUUAAAUUCAUUGAUAUUGUCAUCAACUUAUAUAUAACAUAACUAUCAAACACUAUCUUAGUUAACGAAGCUUAAAGACAAUCUUUGUGUCUUAUUAAGCAUAAACGAGCUUCGUUCUGAAAACUUAUAAAUACAAGGUUUUUUAAUGAAAAAAGCAAAAUGAAAAGCAAACGAAUUAACGAGAAAGGAAAAUGACUGAAAUCAUAGUUUACGACUCUAUGCCGUUAGCAAUGUUUUUGCAAGUCACUAUCUUAGUUUUCGUGUCCCACCAUAUACUAUUUUGCCUAGCUUUCCCCUUCCUUUUCCCCUUGGUUUGUUGAAGGCUGACCCUUGUUUUGUUGCAUGCAUGGACAAUAAUGUUUUUGACCCUACAGAGACCAGAAGCCAAAAAAGAGUAUUGAAUCAUUGGGAAAAUUUUUGGUGGAAUUGGUAGACUGUUAAUCAACCAACCCAUAACUAUAGUGAAUAAGAUUGUUUUAUUUUUAAUUAUAUGUGUCUUUCUCACUUUGAUGAAGACAAAUCUUCUCAUGUGACAAACCCAAGGUCGGCUUCAUCGCGAAGGUGGGUUGUUAUUUCCUUCGUCAAAUAUAUUUUCAAGCGUGCAUGUGCGUACAGACAAAAUUUAAUUCGGUUGUAUGCUAAUGUAGAAUUAAUAAUUGGGAUUUUGAUUGUAAUGCAAGUGUGUUUAUAAAGGGAGGGAUAUAUCAUCUACAUAUAAAAGUGUGAACUCUAAAACUAUUAAAAGUGAACUACAUAAAUACUCUUACAAAUUUUAAGAAAUAAUAAUUUUACCUUUAAAUUUCUAGCAUUUUUUAUUUAUGUAUUAAAGAUUAUUUUUCAUUAAAUAUAGUAUUUAUUAUUUAAUUAUUUAAAUUAAUCCAAAAUUGUUAAAAGUUAAUAGCAUAAAUAUAUUUUAAAAAUAACAAAUUUACCUUUAAAUUUCUAGCAUUUAUUUAGUUAUUUAAUAAAUAUUAUUAGCCAUUAAAUAUAUAGCUUUUUAUUUGUUAGUUAUUUAAAUUUAAAUCAAUUAAAAAUUAUGAAUAGAAUUUAUAUAAAAUUAAACUACAUUAAAAGUUUAUUUGUGGGAUAUGGUGGAUGUAUUGUCGAAAAUUGAUCCAAAUUUACUCUUUUUUUUGUUGGAUUCUUUUUUAUUCAAUUUCAUAAGCAAUACUUUAAAUUCAUGUAAAACACAUUUCUCAUCCUAUGGGUUAUAGCAUACUAUGAGUCUGUGAUAUUAAACAAAGCAUGGACAAAAUAUUUCCUCUAUUGCUCAAUUAGUCAUUAUUUUAGUCUAAAUUAUUAUAUCAUAACAUUUAUGCCCCAAAAAUAUUUAAUUUUAUCUUAAGUAAAACAUAUAAUUUUUCUUUUUCAAGAUAGAACCUAAUUUACUCUUUAUCUUUUUUAAUAAUAUAUAUCAUGAAUCCUUAAAUAUAUUUAUAUUUUUUAUUUAUUUAAUUUAGAUCAAUUAAAAUUAAAGUUCAUACUAAAUUAUUAAUGAAAUUAUCAAAAAAUUAUUGAGAAAGAGUAAUGCAUGUAUUGUGGUAAGUUUGUAUGUUUGAUUUUUUUUAAUUUUUAAUGAUAAAUAUACAUUUAUAUGUUUAAUGAUUGCAAUGGUUGAUUUAUUUUACUAUAAUAUUUCUAAUCACUUUAUGCAAUCACGUUUUAUUGUUACAAUGCCUAAAUGAAUCUUUGCUUUAUGAACAUAAUCUCCCAUAUAUGUGAAUUGUUACUAAACUUAGAUUUAUUUUGUCUUCUAUAGAUUGAUUCUAUAUUAUAUCUAAGUUAAUUUCAAUCAAUCCUUUUUUUUUAAUUUUUAAUUUAAAAUAUUUUGUACUUAAGAUAUUUAUAUAAAACCAUAGUUAAUAUUAUUAAGAAACAUUAAUCUUGAAGAAGAGAAAUUAUUUGCUAUAAUGUUAGUUGAAUUUUUUUUUAAUUCCAUAAGUGGGUUAAAAAAAUUAACAAAUCACUCACUUAUUUUUUCAAUUAGGUUUUUUUUUUUUUAAUAUCACUCAUUUUUUCAAUUAGCCUUUUUUAAUAUACUCUGAAGCUUAAAAGGUAUGUGUGUUACGCUACUAAUUUCAAUUGUGAAAUUUAAAAACUCUACUAUAAAUAUAUUUUAUAAUUUUCCCUUGAAUAAUAUAAAUUUAUUUUUUUCAAUUAAGAAUGCUCUAGAAUGUUUUUGUAUUUUGACAGUGAAAAAUAUUUUAAUCACAUGAUUAAUUGUGUGUGUUUUGUUGAAUGAUCAAAGCUUUGUUAGUUUUGGAACCAAUUAUUAUAUUCUUUGAAUAAAUAUUGUUAUAGUUUAUUUUCUAUCAUUUGUUUAUAUUCUUUAAGUAUAUAAUUAUUAAUUUGUACUCUUAUCAUGAAAGCAUCUGUUUAAUAAUUUUUUGUACUUUAUGAGUGUGUUUAUUAUAGAUAAAUACAUGUAUCACCUAUGAUAUAUACAUAUAAAAAUGUAACCUGUAAGUAAUAUUAAAAGUGAUUUCUUAAUUUGGUACACUCCUAUUAAUAAUGCAAUGCAUGCGAAUCAUGCAUGUCCAACCAGUUCUUCAAUUCAUAAAGAAAGAAAGACUUACAAUUAAACUUAUUAGUUGCAUAAUAAAAAAUUUGAAGUAUGUGGAUGUGAAAUAAAAUAUGUUUAUUUUAUUUAAUCAUACAAUUAAGAUAAAAAAUUAAUUCAAUUGAUACUGUUAAAUUAUUUAUAUACAAAAAUAAAAUAAUGAAUCAAUUAAUAUUUCAUAUAGAUCAUAAAAUUAUUAAAUUAAUCUUUUUAUUAUUCAAUAGGUCAAUGUAUCAUAAUAUAUAUGAAAAUGGUUAAAAAAAAUAAAGGUGUUGGAUGGCAAAUGAUAAUGUGACCUUCAAUUUUGUUUUCUCUUAAUGUGUAAAGUGCUCCACUUGGAAUUUAGCCAACUUUACUAUACAAAAAUUUAUUUAAAUUUUAGCUGAAUAUUUAGAAUACUCAUAAAUAUAUACAUAUUUUAGAUUUUAUAGCCUACCUUGAAUAAGACAUUCUAUAAUUAAGAAAAUGUUUAAUAUAUAUCUAUAUUAUAUAUAAAAUGUGAUAAUUUAUUAAAUUCUCUCUAUUUAUUUUUAUUUAAUAUUUUUUAGUAAAUUAAAAUAUUAUCUACUUUUUAUUUAUUUUCUUAUUAAAAUAGUUUUUCUUUGGUUAAGUCAUUCAUGUCCCAGUGGAUGCAAGCAAUAUGGCUAGAAGGCUUAAAAUAGUUAUUCUACAAAUGAAUAAUUUAGCGUUUAUAAUAUAUUACACCUAUUAACAUGAUUUAUACAAUUAAAUUAAUUAUAGAAGAUUUAAUGGUAAAUAAAAUAUAACUUAGUAGUAAAUGUAUAAUAAUAUAUUAGCAAAUUAUUGAUAAUUUUGUUAUAAAUCAGUGAUAAUUUUGAAAAAAUCAAUAAUAACUUUAUACUAAAUUAAUGAUAAUUGUAUAGUAAAUUAUGAAUAACUUAAUAAUAAAUAAAUAAUAAUUUAGUAAUAAAUAAUUGAUAAAAUAGUGUAUGAUAACAUAAUAAUAAAUACAUAAUAAUAUAGUAUAAAAUAACAAAUAACUUAACAGCAAAUCAUUUAUACAUAAUUGUAAAUUUAUAACACAUAUUAGUAAAUUAAUGAUAUCUUAAUAAAAAAUAAAUGAUAACUUAGUAGUUAAUUAUUAAUAACUUAGUAAUAAAUCAAUGAUAACUUAAUAGUAAAUUAAUAAUAAAUUAAUAGUAAAUAAGGUUUAGUUUAAUACUCAUUCCAUCCCAAUAAAAUUGUCACAUUUUGAUUUUUGUUGGUCAAUUUUUUUCAAUUUUAAUCAUUGAUUAUUUUUUAUUUAUUAUUGUUAAAAAUAUGAAAACAAUAUUUUAAAAACUUUAAAUGAAGUGGUUUCUAAAUAUAUGUUUUGUAAACUUUAAUUUAUUAAAAUAUUUAAAAUAAUAGAUGUCAAAGUUAGAAAAAUUUAACCAAAAAAAAUCAACUCUGACAAUUUAAUUGAAACAAAUAAAGGGAGUAGUAAUUAAUUGACAAAUUUAGUAAUAAAUCAUAAGUAGCUUAGUAAUAAAUCAAUGAUAAUUUAAUAGUAAAUAAUUUAUAACUAAGUAGUAAUUAAUAAUUAGAAAUUAAAAGUAAAUUAAUAUAACUUAAUAGUUAUCAUCAGCAAAUUAAUAGUUAAUCAAUAAUAAUUUAGUAUAGUAAAUUAGAGAUAUAACUUAAUAGUAUAUCAAUUAUAAUUUAGUAGUAAAUUAGUAAUAAUAUUGUCAUAAUGUCUAGAUUCGGGGAUCUAUCGCUAGACAUUGACUUAAAGGAGUCGCCACCAAUCUUUUUUAUCUAGGUGUGAUUGGCCACCUAAAGAAUCUGUCUUUUCAAGAAACACCUAAGUUUAAGGGUCCUUAAAAGAAUAGGUUCAGGUCUACUAACCAAAACAGGGUUCGGGAGUUUAGUUACGUGUGAGGAAGGUUAUAGCACCCUCACAACGCCCAUCAAAAGAUGGUACCAGCUUAAAUUUGUAUUAUCCAAUGAGCCUUAAAAUUUUACCACGUAAUUAAUUAUUGGAAAUUAUUCUCAAUUGACUCUAAUACUUUUAGCAAAAAAUUGAGAAAAUCCCCUCACCUCAAGAGUAUGCAAGAAAAAUUACUGUUUCACUUGUAGAGGCUCCGACGUCGGAUUAUUUAAAGAAAAAUCAAAAUCAAAAUAAAAAUAAAAAGGAAGAAAGGAAUGAUUUUUCUUGUGCAGGAAAAAUUGAUACUUUCAACUUUUCCCAAAAAAUUUUUUGAAAUUUAUUUUUAAGGAAAAUUGAUACUUUCAACUUUUCCCCAAAGAUGUUUCUUUUUUUGGAAAUUUUGAUUUUCAAGGAAAAUUGAUACUUUCAACUUUUCCUCAAAAAUAUUUUUUUUUGAAACUUUGAUUAGGAAAAUUGAUACUUUCAACUUUUCCCAAAAAUAUUUUUUUUUUGAAACUUUGAUUUCCAAGGAAAAUUGAUACUUUCAACUUUUCCUAAAAAAUCUUUUUUUUUCAAAAAUUUAUUUUUAAGGAAAAUUGAUACUUUCAACUUUUCUCCAAAAAUAUUUUUUUUUGGAAUUUUUUAUUUUUGUUUAAAGAAAAUAGAAUAAUAAAAAAGAUAAAUAAAAAUAAAAAUAAAGAAAAGUAGAACAAAAAUAAAAAUAAAAUAAAGAUAAAAAGAAUAUUAAAUAAAUCUAAUCUAAUAAAAAAAUAAAUAAAUUAAUUAAAAAAAAAACUUGGAGCGGCUCGACUAUCGGCUCGGCUCGGCUCAAGGCAGGGAAACGGCUCGGGGAGCGGCUUGGCGGCUUGGCUCGGCUCAGCUUGGCUUGGCUCGGAGGGGGGUAGGCACGCGCGGGUCAGAAGCGGGUCGGGUCGGGUUUCGGCAAAACGCGCGGAUCCUCUGGUUACUUAAGGCCAAAACGACGUCGUUUUAAGCGGGUAUAAAAGGCACUUUCCUCUAUUUUUUGGUAGAACCCUUCUCCUCUCUCUCUCUUCUUCCUUUUUCUUCUCCCUUCUCUCUAAAAACUGAAGAACACCGGUGAAAUUUUCACCGGAUUCUGGAAAAAGUCACCGAAAUCUGAAAAUUUUUACCGAAAGUUGGUCGGAAGAUCACCGGUUUCUGGGAUUAUUCGUCGAAAACUGGGUUGGUCGCCGGAAACUUCAAGUUGGCCGGAAUUUUCGUCGGAAAAUUCAAACGUCGUCGAAAUUUUCGCCAGAAUCAAAAUUUCCCAAAAAUUUCCAGAAAAAUUUUUCGCCAAAAAUUUCUAAAAAAUUAUUUUCGAUCCCUACAGCUAUCCUAACUCUUCUCAACCUUUUUUAGCCUUCGAAAACUCUUCUAUACACCUCUUUUCUCUCAAAUUCAGUAGCUUUGCUCACUGUUUUCUUUGUGUUCCUCAUCUGUUCCAGGAGGGUGCCUUUUAUAGGGGUUGAUCAGGAGUUCCUGAUCAAUCCCAAUUUCUUCUUGGACGGAGAUUCAAUCUUUGAAUCCAAUUGGACUCUUUUGAUUGAAUCCCCACUCCUAGUAGGAUUCUUCAGCUUCAAUCUUAACCUUCCAAAAUAAAAAUCAAAUAAAUAUAAAAAAUAAUAGAUAAUUAGAACAGUUAAAUAAAAAAAAUAGAUAUAUUAUAGGAUAAAUAAUAAUAAAAAUAACAGAUAUAUAAUUAGAUAAAUAAAAAUACAAAAAUAAAUAAAAUAUAAAAAUUAUAAUAAUAAUAAUAAUAAAAAAUAUAUAACUAUAUAAAUAAUAUACAUAUAAAUCUAUUCUAAAUAAAAAAUAAAUAAAUAUAGAUAUACAUAUAUUAAUAAUAAUAAAUAUAAAAAUACAUAAAAUACAAAAGAAAAGGAAAAAAGAAAAAAAAAUAAUACAAGAUUGAAUUGGGCUUUACCCAUUUGGGCCAGGCCCAAUUGAUCUGGGCCUGGACCCAAUUGGGUGUCUACAGCUGUCCCUCUUUGCAUAUUUUCUGUGAAACAGAAAUUGCGCAAAGACGUAGACACCCAAUCAAGACUCAACUCAACAUUGUCAUUUUUUUUGUUUUUUUGUGUUUUUUGUGUUUUUUUGUUUUUUUGGUUUUGUUUUUUGUGUUUUGUUUUUUUUUUUUUUUUUGUUUUUUUUUUUUUUGUUUUUUUGUUUUGUUUUAUUUUUUUUUUACCAAAGCUCUUCUAAACAGAGGCUCAACGACUUUGAGAAACAUAAAUUGCUCCUCUAAACAGAGGGACCACGACUUGGAAAAGUAAAUUGCUCCUCUAAACAGAGGGACCACGACUUUGUAUUGGAAAGUAAAUUGCUCCUCUAAACAGAGGCACCGCGACUUUGAAAAAUAAAUUGCUCCUCUAAACAGAGGCACCACGACUUUGAAAAGUAAAUUGCUCCUCUAAACAGAGGCACCACGACUUUGAAAAGUAAAUUGCUCCUCUAAACAGAGGCCACGACUUUGGAAAAUAAAUUGCUCCUCUAAACAGAGGCACCACGACUUUGAAAAAGUAAAUUGCUCCUCUAAACAGAGGCACCACGACUUUGGAAAAGUAAAUUGCUCCUCUAAAUAGAGGCACCACGACUUUGGGAAAAUAAAUUACUCCUUGACAAUCAUGUCCAAAGGAGUUGAAAAUUGUGUUUGAAGGAAUUUCAGGGGAUUAUGCCCAAAGGUCUUAUAAAUCAACCCUGAUACCAAAAGACAUCCUAUUUCAAGGAUUAAGAACUUACCUGACAAGUUUCUUCUCAAACUUGUAAAAUAUCUUUAUAUCUGUCUUUCCAUGUGGGAUGUUGGAACACCCUUGCUUCUUGGAUUUAUACACUAUACUUUCUUGAAAGUAGUGUAUGCUAUGCAAAUGUACAUGAAUUUCAAUGCAUGCUAUGCAAAUGUUGGCCAAUUAAUUCCUGUUCAAUGUAUGGUACUCAAGUUUCUCAAGCUCUUUUAUUAGGCAUCAAGCCCUUUGAUACUUCAGAGAUCCAAUUACACUACUCUUCUAAGAUCGAACUAGUGUAGCUCUCAAUUGUCUUUUCCACUCACAUUCUUCUUUGUUCAGUCUCUCGAUACUUUGGAAUAAGCUUCAUCAAUCGGUCAUCACUUGACCAUCAUUCAAUGAAUUUUUCAGCACUAACAAGUUUCAUCCACCAUCACUGGGUCAUUACUCAUAGGUGUCUCAGCAUUAACCAUUCUAAAACAAUUCUGUCCACUGAUUGUCUUCAUCAUUCAAUCAUAACUUGCAAGUCAUAUAGAUCAAUUCAUCACUUUUCAAGAUUUGCCCCAUUAUAUUCUUCAUUUGAUCACAUCAUAUAUCCUUCCAAAUCAUCUCUUUUAGGUCUCUACCAUUUUGUCACCACCAUCAUCUUAGAUUUCUUUUCAAAUGAAUACAAGACUCUUUUAACCACAUAUUCAUUCAUUCAUUAUCAUUUCAAAUCUUGACAAGUACAAUGCAAUCAAGCAUUUUCUCAAUUCAUUCUAAGGGUGUAACAAUAAGAAAACAGAAGGCGAACUAUGGCAAAGAUAAUAAAUGAAGAUCUAUUUUGGUACAGAAUAAAUGGGAAAAAAAUGUCAUUGGGAUGGAUGGUAUGUCCAAAUGAUGAAUAUUCAAACAAUUCUUAAUAUUAAUCUAGGAUUCUUUUUCAAAAACUCAUUUCAUUUAUUGUUGAAGUCAAUUUGAGCUUGACGAACUUUGCCCCAGUCUUUGAGAGAUCUUCAGAUGUCUUUGAUCUUUCAUUGAUGUGAGCCAUUUGACCUGGAUCCCUUUUUUUUUUUUUACCAAAAUCACCCUUUCAGGUUUUCAAUUUGAAUCUCUUUUUUUCAUUUUCUCAUUUUUUUUCUUUUUUUUUUCAUCAUCUUUUUUUCAUUUUUCAUCCAUUGUUGAUAUCUUUCAUGUAGCAUGAUUUCCUUGCUUCAUCAUGAGCAUGUCUUUGCUCAACAUAUGACCAUUCAAGUUGGGUAUUCACACUUGAUCCAAAUGGACUUUUCAAGCUUGUAACGUAGGCCAAGGUGAAGGGUCAUAAAAAAAAUGGAUAUAAUAGGCUUAAAACAUGUAUUAAAAAGGUUCAAAACCAAAGGAUCAUUCGAUACAACUUGGCAUUUUGCCCACAUCGUUUCACUACUUUUUUUUUCCUCACACAAAGGAUUCUCGUUACUUUACCCCAAGUAAUGUGUGGCAUUUAUUUUUCUUUUGCUUUUCUUUCUCUUUCCAUUUUUGAGACCUUUUGUGGUAUUUUUUUUCUUUUUUUUUUCAAAAUUUACCCUCAAGUGUAGAGGGUGAUCCUUGGUUGGGGUUCUUAAAAAAAAAAUGAUAAGCUCAAAGGGGUAAUAAUAAAUGGUUUUUCAAAUGGUAAAAGAAAAAUGGCCAUUUUUCAUCUCAAUUGUGAAUACCUUUUUUGAACAUCAUCUAUUGAACAAAGCUCAUGAACUUGUAUAAAAGAUUGCACACCUUCAAGAUAUAUCUAUUUCACCUUCAGUAACAGCUUACUUUUUGCUCAAAUCAUCUCCUUACAUUAAGUGGAUGAGUUCUCAAAAUUAAAUCCCAGAAUUAUUGUUAUCAUUGUCUAAAUAUUCAUCAUCUGAAAUUUAAGAAUGAGAAUGUGAAGUUAUGGAAGGUAACAGGGCAUGGAAUAAUGGUCAAGUGAAAGAGAAAAAUGUAAUGAAAUGCAUUGACUUGCCUUUAUUAAAAUGAUAACAAGCGAAGUCACAUUGCAAAAAGAAAUCCAACAAUCACUCAAAAAAAAAUCCUAAGAAACAUUCAACCAGCCUUAUCUUCAUUUUUUAAAAUUGUCCCCCUAUGGGAUCAGGUGAAGAAUCUCUAUUGACAUCUUGCCCCUCAAUUCAUUGUGAUUCUUCGGACCCUUUCUGUUUUUAACUUUCACUCAGAGCGCUAACAUUAGAUGUUGUUGCUUUUUCUUGAUCAAAACUUACCAUUCCAUCAUUGAUCAACCGUUGCACCUUAUACUUUAAAGCAGUGCAAUUUUCAGUAGAAUGGCCAGUAAUUUCAUAGUGAUAGUCGUAGUGGGCUGUAGGAUCAUACCACUUUGGGUAGGGUGGUUUAAGUGGCUCCACAUGGCUGGGGGCAAUUAAGUGGCUAUUAUAGAGUUCUCGAUAUAACUCUGUAUAAGUCAUAGGGAUUGGAUCAAAUACAUGCUUUUCUCGAGUAGUUCGUUGUUCUCGUGAACCACUUGCUGGGUUAAUAGGGCGAACUUGAGUUCUUGCAGGAGCUUGAAUGUUGAGGCUGUAUGUAAGAUCUUGGGGGCUAAAAAUUGAUUGGUGCGUGGAUGAAUAAGGUGGUUGUGGAGCUAGCUGGUAUGGGUAGGAUAAGGCAUUGUUCACAGUAAAAUCGUAUGGAGAGUAACCUUGGGAUGGAUAGGGUUGAUAACCCCUGAAUUGUUGUCUAUCAAAGCUCACAGCUUGAGCUUCAGCUUCUUUCUUUUCUGAUGUCUUCUUGGUUUCUCCUCCUUUCAACUUACCAUUUUUUAUGGCACUUUCAAUAAUUUCUCCAGAGAUUACCAUGUCAGCAAAAUUCUUUGUUGCAUUUCCUAUCAUCUUUUCAUAAUAGGGAGGUUUCAAAGUGCUAACAAAUAAUAUAGUAGUCUUUUUUUCUGUCAAUGGAGGUUGUACCUGUGAAGUUAUAUCUCUCCAUCUCUGGGCAUACUCUUUAAAAGACUCGUUUGACUUUUUCUUCAGAUUCUGCAAAGACAAACGAUCUGGGGCCAAAUCGAUAAUAUGUCGAUACUGACCGAUGAAGUAAUGUGCCAUAUCGCUCUAAGAGCGAAUGCGAGUCCUAUCCAGCUGAACAUACCACCUGGCAGCAGAACCAGUAAGGCUAUCCUGGAAGACAUGCAUCAAGAGUUUUUCAUCAUGUGCAUGAGCUGCCAUCUUUCUGCAAUACAUGGUGAUGUGGGUUUUGGGGCACUUUGUACCGUCAUAUUUUUCAAACUUCGGUACUUUGAACUUAUGAGGGAUAACCACAUCAGGAACUAGGCAGAGCCCAGCAGCAUCAACUGACCCAUAAAAGCUAAAUCCUUCCACAGCCCUAGCCUCUGCUCUAGCAUGCUAAUUUUGGAGCUUUCCUGAACUUCCACUCUUAUCUUUUCUUUUUCUUCUCUUUUAAAUCAUUUAGAUCAGGAACUGGUUCUACUAUUUUUUCAGUGAAUACAGAAUUUAUAUAUCUAUUAUACUGCCCUGGGUUGAAAGCUGAUGGCAUUCCAGGAUAGGCAAAAUGUUGUGGCGGGACCUCUUGGGUAGACUGGGCUUGAGGUGGGCCAAAACUUGGAGGGUACAAAGGGUCAACCAUUUCUUGCUGGCUUGUACUUCCUUCAACUUCUUUUCCUUUAUUCAUGUUAUUAAGGGCCUCCAGAAUCUUGCUUAGUUCACUUUCAAUCUUUUCAUGAGUUUUUUCUAGCUUUUCAAAUCUAUGAGAACUUUUCUCUUCCAUUUGCCUUGCUCUGGAUCUUGUGUUGUAUGGAUGAGUAGGGUUUUCGCUAGAUGGAGCUAUCCUCGGAUCUUGAGUACCAUACUUAUGAUUAGAAAUAUUAUGCUGUGCCUUAUGUAUGAUGCUUUGAUACACAAAUGAAAUGUAUAUUUUUUGAAUGAAAUCUAGUAUGAAAUGAAUGCAAAUGAUUGUGUUGAAACAUGAUCAUGAAAAGAAUACAGAUGCAUACAAUCAGACAAAUAACAUAGUUAGUUUCGUGGAUGAAACGUAAGUGAUGCUGAUGCAUAAUGUUACAUAUGAUAAAAAUAAUACACAAAGUUAAGUAAUCAAAAUGAUUAGAUAAACACCCUUUUUGUGUCCUAAUUUUAGGGUAUAUCUAUCAUUGGGUAGAAAGAGCUCUAUCCUAGGUGUAGGCAUUCUUAAAGUUCACUACAUGUGGUUUUAAGGUCAGAGUCUAAAGGUCCUCAAAUUGCUCCUUACAUCCUGUCCAUUACAGACUAGUACGGCACCCUAAUCCUCACCCAUUACAGGCUACAAGCGAAAAAGGUUCAAUUUGAGUGGGAGUAUUUCGCUAGCCACUGCGGAGGCAUUAGACCUCACGAAAACAAUAGGUACUUUACUCCCUCCUAGAAGGAUGGAGCUCGGGUGUAGAGCUCAUGUUAUGCACAUGCACAUGAAUGACAUAAUUAACAAAGUAAAUAAAACAUGAAUGAAUAACAACACAUAUAUACAACAAGGUUCAAUUUCAUUUGGCUUUUGGAUAACACAAAUUAUUUGCUGGCCUGACUCUCAAGGUCCCCAACGGAGUCGUCAAGCUGUUAUAACGUUUAGAUCCGGGGAUCUAUCGCUAGACAUUGACUUAAAGGAGUCGCCACCAAUCUUUUUUAUCUAGGUGUGAUUGACCACCUAAAGAAUCUGUCCUUUCAAGAAACACCUAAGUUUAAGGGUCCCUAAAAGAAUAGGUUCAGGUUUACUAACCAAAAUAGGGUUCGAGAGUUUGGUUACGUGUGAGGAAGGUUAUAGCACCCUCACAACGCCCAUCAAAAGAUGGUGCCAGCUUAAAUUUGUGUUAUCCAAUGAGCCUUAAAAUUUUACCACGUAAUUAAUUAUUGGAAAUUAUUCUCAAUUGACUCUAAUACUUUUAGCAAAAAAUUGAGAAAAUCCCUUCACCUUAAGAGUAUGCAAGAAAAACUACUGUUUCACUUGCAGAGGCUCCGUUGUCGGAUUAUUUAAAGAAAAAUCAAAAUCAAAAUAAAAAUAAAAAGGAAGAAAGGAAUGAUUUUUCUUGUGCAGGGGAAAUUGAUACUUUCAACUUUUCUCAAAAAAUUUUUUGAAAUUUAUUUUUAAGGAAAAUUGAUACUUUCAACUUUUCCUAAAAAAUCUUUUUUUUGAAAAUUUAUUUUUAAGGAAAAUUGAUACUUUCAGCUUUUCCCCAAAAAUAUUUUUUGAAAAUUUAUUUCUAAGGAAAAUUGAUACUUUCAACUUUUCCUCAAAAAUAUAUUUUUUUUGAAACUUUGAUUUCCAAGGAAAAUUGAUACUUUCAACUUUUCCUAAAAAAUCUUUUUUUUUCAAAAAUUUAUUUUUAAGAAAAAUUGAUACUUUCAACUUUUCCCCAAAAAUAUUUUUUUUUUUGGAAUUUUUUAUUUUUAUUUAAAGAAAAUAGAAUAAUAAAAAGAUAAAUAAAAAUAAAAAUAAAGAAAAGUAGAACAAAAAUAAAAAUAAAAUAAAGAUAAAAAGAAUAUUAAAUAAAUCUAAUCUAAUAAAAAUAAAUAAAUAAAUAAAUUAAAAAAAAAACCUGGAGCGGCUCGGCUAUCGGCUCGGCUCAAGGCAGGGAAACGGCUCGGGGGGAGCGGCUUGGCGGCUUGGCUCGGCUCGGCUUGGCUUGGAAGGGGGCAGGCACGCGCGGGUCAGAAGCGGGUCGACGCUCGGGUCGGGUCAGGUUUCGACAAAACGCGCGGAUCCUCUGGUUAUUUAAGGCCAAAACGACGUCAUUUUAAGCGGGUAUAAAAGGCACUUUCCUCUGUUUUUCGGUAGAACCCUUCUCCUCUCUCUCUCUCUUCUUCCUUUUUCCUCUCCCUUCUCUCUAAAAACUGAAGAACACCGGUGGAAUUUUCACCGGAUUCUGGAAAAAGUCAUCGAAAUCUAGAAAUUUUUACCGGAAGUUGGCCGGAAGAUCAUCGGUUUCUGGGAUUAUUCGUCGAAAACUGGGUUGGUCGCCGAAAACUUCAAGUUGGCCGGAAUUUUCACCGAAAAAUUCAAACUUCGCCGGAAUUUUCGUCGGAAUCUGGAAAUUUCCCAGAAUUUUCCAAAAAAAUUUUUUGCCAAAAAUUUCUAAAAAAUUAUUUUCGAUCCCUACAGCUAUCCUAACUCUUCUCAACCUUCUUUAGCCUUCGAAAACUCUUCUAUACACCUCUUUUCUCUUAAAUUUAGUAGCUUUGCUCACUGUUUUCUUUGUGUUCCUCAUCUGUUCCAGGAGGGUGCCUUUUAUAGGGGUUGAUCAGGAGUUCCUGAUCAAUCCCAAUUCCUCAUUGGACGGGGAUUCAAUCUUUGAAUCCAAUUGGACUCUUUUGAUUGAAUCCCCACUCCUAGUAGGAUUUUUCAGCUUCAAUCUCAACCUUCCAAAAUAAAAAUCAAAUAAAUAUAAAAAAUAAUAGAUAAUUAAACAGAUAAAUCGAAAAAAAAACAGAUAUAUUAUAGGAUAAAUAAUAAAAAAAAUAACAGAUAUAUAAUUAGAUAAAUAAAAAUACAAAAAUAAAUAAAAAUAAAAAAAAUAAAAAAAAUAAAUAUAUAACUAUAUAAAUAAUAUACAUAUAAAUCUAUUCUAAAUAAAAAAUAAAUAAAUACAGAUAUACAUAUAUUAAUAAUAAUAAAUAUAAAAAUACAUAAAAUACAAAAGAAAAUAAAAAAAGAAAAAAAAUAAUACAAGAUUGAAUUGGGCUUUACCCAUUUGGGCCAGGCCCAAUUGAUCUGGGCCUGGACCCAAUUGGGUGUCUACAAAUAUAAUAGUCAAAGCAUAAUAACUUAAUAAUAAAUCAAUUAUAACGUAAUUGUAAAUGCAAAAUAACGUAGUUGUAAAUUAAUAAUAAUUUCAUAAAAAAAGAUAACUUAAUAGUUAAUCAUUGAUAAUUUAGUAGUAAAUUAAUAAAAAUUUAGUAGUAAAUUAGUGAUAGCAUAAUAGUAAAUUUAUUUUAGUUUAAUAGUAAUUAAAUUAUAAAUUUAAUAGUAAAUCAUAAAUAACUUAACGAUAAAUCAAUGAUAAUUUAAUAGCUAAUCACUAAAACUCAGUAGUAAAUCAAUAAUAACCAAGUAGCAAAUGUAUAACAGUAUAGUAGUAAAUCGCUAAUAAUUUAAUAGUGAAUUAUUGAUAAUUUAGUAUUAAAUCACUAAUAACGUAAUAGUAAAUCAUUGAUAAUUUAUUUAUAAAUUAAAAAAAUUUAGUUAUAAAUUAGUUAAUUAUUAAUAAUUUUAUAGUAAAUCAUCAAUAACUUUAUAGUAAAUUAGAAAUAACAUUAUAAUAAAUUAUUAAUAACUUAAUAGUAAAUUAUCAAUAACUUAAUAAUAAAUCAUUUAUAACUUAGUAGUAAAUCAUUUUAUAACUUAGUGAUAAAUCAUGAUAAUUUAGUAGUAAAUCGAUGAUAAAGUAGUAGUAAGUGAGUUGUAACUUAUUUGUUAAUUAUUGAUAACAUGUUUUUUAUACUUAAAGUUACUAAUGAUUAAACCUUGGUUACUAGAAAGAGAAAAGGAUUAGGAUAAACCUAACAUGAACUUUUUCAUUAAAAAAAUAUAGUAAAAAAAUUAUAAAUUUGAAUGAAACAAUAAUGUUAUAUUAUAUAAAAAAAAAAUUAUCUCAUAUAUUGUAAUUAAUUGAUAAAAUUAAUAGUAUAUCAUAAAUAACUUAGUAAUAAUUCAAUGAUAAUUUAGUAGUAAAUAAUUGAUAAUUUAAUAGCUAACUAUUGAAAACUUAUUAAUAAAUCAAUGGUAAUUAGUAAAUGCAUAAUAAUAUAAUAGUAAAUCACUAAAUUUAGCAGUAAAUCACUAAUAACGUAGUAAUAAGUCACUUAUAACUUAGUUAUCUAUCAAUGAUAAUUUUGUAGUAAAUCAUUGAUAACUUCACAGUAAAUUAGUUAUAACUUUAUAAUAAAUUAUUAAUAACUUAGUACUAAAUCAUCAAUAACUUAAUAGUAAAUCAUUCAUAACUUAAUAGUAAAUCAUUAAUAAUUUAAUAAUAAAUCACUGAUAAUAUAGUAAUAAAUUAGUAAUAACUCAAUUGUCAAUCAAUAAUAAGUUUUUUUAUAUUUGAAGUUUUUAGGGAUUGAACUCCAAUUACCAUCAAGAGUGAAGUAAAAAUUUAGUAAUAAAUCAAUUAUAAUAAUAAAUUAGAGUUAACUUAGUCAUAAUUUAUUUAUAAUUAAAUGCUAAAUCACUUAUCAUUUAUUGUAAAUCAGUGAUAAUAAUAAAUCAAUGAUAACUUAUUAGUAAAUUAGUUUUAGCUUAAUAGUAAAAUCUGGAUAACUUAAUAGUAAAUUAUUCAUAUUUUGAUAAUAAAUUAGUGAUAUAACUUAGUAGCAAAUUAUUGAUAACAUAUAGUAGUAAAUCAUUACUAACUUAAUAUUUUUUUUUUGGUUAAAUAUUGAUAUAGGGCUAUAUUUUUUAAUAUGUCUAACAUAUUUAAUUCAUUUAAAAAUUAUAUUAAUUGCCAUUUAAUACUAAGGUAUCUAGUUACAAUAUUUGUGGAUAUUGUAUACAUAUAUAAAUGAUUAAAACAAUAUUCAUGUACCAAUUACUAUAACAACAUAUUUUUAUUAAAACAAAUCAAAUUUUGCAAUGAAAAUUUCCAAUAACUUUAUUUGUAUUUGCAUGUCCUUGAUUGUCUAUUUGAUAAUAUAUUAAUAGUAACUACAUUAAUGCUAUAUCUUUACUAAAAUAAAUUGUUGCGUUUUAUAGUAUCAUUUAUAACAUUGAUAGCAAUUAUACAAAAAAAUUUUGUCUUCAAAGAUAUUUUUAAAAUGAAAGAGAAAAAUAAUGAGUCUAAAUUUAUUGGAAAACACCAUAGAAAAAUUACCUAUUAGUUAUUUUCUUAGGUACAUAAUAUUUUAAAUUAAAAUAUAUGAUCUAAUAAUACUAAUAAUAGUAUGAAUUCUAUAAAUUAUAAUUUUCUAGCAAUAUUGUUUAAAUAAUGAAUUUUUUGUAUGACUUAUACUUGAUAUAUAAUUAAGUGUUCAUCGAAAUUACUUCAUUUUAAUUCAAAAAGAGUUCAAAUAUUAAAAAUAUAUUCAUUAUCAACUUUAAAGUCUAAGAUUUAAAACAUAGUUUACCUUCCAAAUAUAUUUUUUUGAUAUUUAUCUAAAAAAGAUAAUAUCUUAUUAAUUUUUAAAAUUAUGAUAUUUUAUUAUUUAACAAACAAUAAUAAUAUUGAACGAAAGUUAAUUGAAAAAAGUAUUUGAAUAUUUAAAGAACAACAUAAAAAACUAUUUGAUUAGGAUAAGGUAUACCUUUAAGUAAAGUUUUAUUUAAACACUUAGUAUAACAUAUUUUAGUAACUUAUGUAUAUUUAAUUGCUUUUUAAGAAAUCAGUAUCGAUACUAAAAGUAGUUUUAGUCAAUAUCCCAUAUAAAUACAUAAAUAAACAUAAUUGAUUAUUACAUCAAGAUACUAAUAGUUUUUUUAUUACUUCACAUCCUUUUUUUAGAAUAUGUUUACAAAUUAAUAUUUUUAAUUAGUAAAAUUCAUGUUAUGCAUUUUUUACUAUAAAAUGAAAUUACAAAAUGAUUUAUAUAACAUAAAUAAGUACAUGUUAAAAAUAGAAGUUAGUAAUGAAAACAAAUUAUAUAUUUACUUUAUUUCAAGUAACAAAAACUUUAUAACAAUUUGGUUUCAAAUCAAAAUAACAAAUUUAAAUUUUCAAUGGCAAAUAGAUGAAAAGUAAUAAUUUGAAUGAGUUUGGCAAUGAUCAAUUGCCUAAAAAAUUUAUAAAAUUGAAGAUAAAAAUCCACCACUAAAAAAGUUUAAAAAAGCUCUAGAAAAAACAUAAAAUAGAGAAGAAGGAAAGUACAAAAUUCGAUUUGAUUAUGAUAAAAAACAAUCUUUUAUAGUUGAAAAAACUAAUAUAUAUAUAUAUAUAUAUAUAUAUAUAUAUAUACAUAUAAGAAUGAAGAUGAUGACUUAACACUAAAAGACUUAAAAGAACACUUCUAAAAAGAAUCAAAACAAAGAAACAUUAAAUAUUUAUUUUUUAUUGGAAUUUUAAUUUUACUUUUUUGUUAUAGUUAUUUUUUAAAACUUAAAUUUACAUUUUUAAUUUAAUUUAGUAUGAUAAUAAUUAUUUCAAUUUAAUUAUUAUAAAAUAUCAAAAUUAUUAUAUUAUAUUAUAUUAUAAUUAUAAUUUGGUUAACAAUCACGUGCACGGCAUGUGGAAUAAAACUAGUAAUUAAUAAAGACAAAUAUGAUUGCAAAAUUAUUGGAUAUUUUCAUUUUUUUAUUUUAUUUCUUGUACAUUUUGAAAGAAAAUGUAGAUAUAUAAUAUGGACUAAGUGCUAUGAAUUAAUGUUAAAUAGUUUGGUUUCCCUUUUUUUCCUCCUAAUAACUUUAAACUUUAACGUGAUACUAUUAUAACUGUAUGUAGAAAAGCUUAAUUAUAAUUAAUAAAAUUUUACCGGUAAUAAUAGUAUUCAUCAUUCUAAUAUAAAUAAGUUCAAUUUAUUAUAUAUAGUCAAAAUUAGUGUUAUGAUAAUGUUACGACAAGAUUUCGUGAUUAUAUAUUUUAACGGACCAUAAUUUCGUUAUGAACUAAGAUUUAAUUUAAUUAAUUUAUAUAGUUACUUUUAAAAGAUGAUAUCUAAUAUGUUUAAAAUUUAAAUAUCAAUAUUUGUAAUCUCUUUUAAUAUCUCCAAACUAGAACCUCCUGUAUAAAUAAAAUCGUUUGAUCAUUUCAACAUCUCAGGGGACAAUUUAUUAGUGUCACUUUGGCAUUCGGUAAAAUCAGAAUAUCUAUGAGCUUAGUACUCCGGUAGUUGAGGAUAACUAGACUGUUAUCUUUGGAAGCAAAAGCGACAAACAAACAAAAUUAAGAAAAAAUAUUAUAGGAAUAACCGAUCUCGAGUCGAUAACAAGAAUAUCUUUCGAAACAAUAAAAUAAAAAACAUAUUGUUCAAGUUAAUUCUAGAUUCUUAGAUAAAAACUACUCACAUGGAUCCAAAUUUCGAGCAAAUCCGACCAAAAAAUUUUUCACCUAAAUAACCUAGAAAGAAAACAAUAAUUUUUCUUAGAAGCAACUAAGAGAAUCAAAUUACAUUGAUAGAUUCAGAUGCUGAUUUCGAUUCGUUAUAGUAUUAUUAGUUGUUUUAGACCUAAAGAUAACGACCAAGAUGUUGGUUUUUUAACUCUUGUUUCUUUCAUCCCAAAUCUUGAAUUAAAAUUGCUGCAUUUCCAAGAAUACCUUACUUAAAAAAAAAAAAAAAAACCAACAUCUUGACGUUUAUUCAAAUUUAGGUCGGCGAUCUUGACGAGAAAAUGUACAUUUUCCCAUAAGCCAAAUGACGGAACUCUUAGCACGAUGUUUGGCGUAGUUAUCAAUUAUCACGGAAGCAUGAUUCCAUGCUACAGUUUCUUGUACAGUUGUAAGAUUAAUACAAUGUUGUCCAUUUAAAUUUUUUUUUAUAUAUAAAAGAAGUGGUAAUUUAAGGAUAGAAAAAUGGAGUAUAGAUGUUGAAAUUUUAAUUUUAAAUUUACUGAAUGUAAUUUUUUUAAAGGUGAUUUAUAUGACUUGAUUGGAUUAAAUCUUAAAUCUCAAACUGUUUGUUUUUAAAUAUAUAAUCUUUUUUAUAUUAAUUUUGAAGGGUGAUUAUAAUUUUCAUACUUUAAAUAUCAUAUUCAAUGAUAUUUGCAACGAUACUAUAUCUAAAGAGUAGUCACUAAUAGUUACAUGUUAAUUGGUAUCGAAAUCAAGAUUGGAUGUCUCAAUUAGAAAAAGUAUAAAUCAAUCAACAUGGACGGACUUAACUUUAUGUUACCGUGAAACUUAGAAAAUUAACUCGCAUAAAUGGUCCCACUUAAAGCAGUCUAUCUAUGUACAUGAUAGAAGACCUAACUUUGAUCAUCUUGUUGUGGGGUUUAAUUUUUUUCUUAAAAAAAAAAAAGCUUUUGCUGAAAAAAGUUACAAUUAGUCAACAUUAAAAUGUAUAUCUUUCUUUUUCAUUUGACUCGAUUCGUUAUUUUGCCUCUCGUUCAUGUAUCUUUCUUCAUGUCACUAUGUGGCAUGAUUUAUACUUCCACAGUUUCAAUUGUCGGUAAAGUUAUGAAUGAUUUAAUUUUCAUGUCAAGAUGUUAAUUACAAUUAUUAGUCUCUCUAUUGACAUCAGAUCUAAAAUAACAUAAAUCCAAUUCAUCAAUAUUGAAUUUUUUUUAUUACAUAAUAAGAGGUUAAAUGGUACACAUGAUUUUAGAGUACCUGAUGAAAAUUGGUUAUCUUUCAUUUUAUAAAUCUCAUGAUGAUAAAAUGAUAUAUUAUAUUGUUAUAGUUAGAAUUAGAUUUGUUCGUGAGUUGAAUUAUUAGACUUAGGGUUAAUUAAACAUUGUAGCCGUGGUUGAAAAAAAUUGAGUUAGAAUAAAUACGUCUAAAAACUGUAAUUAAAAAUUUUAAGUGUUUAUUAUUGAUGUAAAAAAAAUAUUGUGAGUAAUUGAAAUGUCUAAAAUGAUAUGUAUAAAAUAAUAAAAUAUUAUAAAUAUAGGAUAAUGUAAUGAUCUUGAGUAUCGUUUUAGUUUGGGUUGCAAAACUGUACUUUGAAAUUGUAAAACAAUAUUUUUUUUAUUGUUUAGUAUUGAGGUUGGAUCAAAAAUAAUUUUUAAAUGCAAAAAUUACUUUCAAUAACAAUACUAAAUUAGGCCUUAGACAAGUCUUGGAUUGGAAUUUUCAUGUUUAUGUUAGACUUGAAACGUUAUUUUAUUAGUAUAAUUGAGAAAAAUUGGAGAUCUUUCAAUGAGAAAAUGGGUUCUUUGUUUGAGGUAUUAGAUGCUCUUUAAGGUUGUAACUCAUAUAAAAUUCUUCGUAGGACCAAAGGCUUAACAAAUCAAGGAUAACUAUGGACUCAUUUAGGCCCAAAAACGAUAUUAAUUGCAUGAAAUCUCUCCAUAACUAAAAUAGAGGAAAGAAUUUGAAUCCUAAAUCUCCAGUUUUUAUUAGAAUUAAAAUAAGUCAAAUGUGAAGUUUUCUUUUCUGCUUUUGACACACAAAUCUGAUUUUUUUUUCUGUUUAAUUAAUUUUCAAGACUAUUUUCAGGUUUAUAUAUUGGUUAAGGACACGCAGGAGACUUAUCUUAUUUACUAUUAUGAAGAAAAGUAAAAGAAAAUCUAAAAAUUAAUAAUUUUUAUGCAGCAAAUUGAAACAAGAAAAAGGGUCCAAAGCCAGUCAGAAUGUUUCCUAACUCUCCAAGGUGUUUCAGGAAUGAUUUGUGAAAAUCUUUCUUGUUCAUGCUGAUCUUGAACGCAACCAUGGUCUCACUCAAAAAAGAAAUAAAAAUUAAUUGGUUCAAAAUCUAACAUCAAGAAAUUUUAUGGAGUAGCCAAAAAGUAAUGGGGACGGCCAAAAUUUUGUGACACUUUCUGAAGAUCGGUUGAAAUUUUUCCUUUUGUGUAGCCAAAAAAGAAGAUAAAAAAUGGCAGCUUUUGUUGAAAAAAAAAUUAAAGGAAAUCUUUGAGGGUAUAUAUAUAUAUAUAAAGAAUUAAAGUAAUCCUUCUCGUAUUCCUUGUACAUGUUGAGUGAUUAAUUGUUGGAUCAUACUCGUCAACCUACUGCUGAGGGUGUAAUUUAUUUAAUUGUUGCACUUUUGCUAACAAAUACAGUUGGCUAUGCAAAAUACGGCCUUUCUAGGAGCUCCAUAACUCAUUCAAUUUCCCAUUUUCUGCCUUGCCUUGCUUGCCAUGGCGAAAGAAUUUGAUUAGCUAUCUUUUCAAAUGAAUUUCUUCGCUUCGAAAAGCUAAUUCAAAUUUCGUUUCCUUCGAUAAAGAUGGUAAUGUCUAUCUGCUAGUGUGGUUUGUUCUUCUGUUUUCAUUUUGGGGUUGCUAGCUAUUGCUAGAUUCAUUUCCUUCUAGUUGCUUAAAUAAAUUUGGCUUAGGAAGAAAAAAAAAAAGGUGGCAAUGGUAUGGAUUAAGUUUGGAUUUAAUUAUUCAGACUAAAUCAUUUCAUGAAGAAACUUCGGGUCGUUUUGGAUUGAAAUUUAAAUGAUGAGUUUUAAAAUAAAUUUAAUUUAAUUUAAUUUAAAAUCAUUUGGAUUAUUUUUUUGAAUUAUUUGAGAUUUUUAUCCUUUCAUAUUUGAUUAUUUCAGAUUUAGAUCAAAUUGAAUAUAAAUUAUGAACAAAACUUAUAUAAAAUUUUAUAGGUGAAGUUUAUGAAAUUUUUUAUUACAAAUGAGUAAAUAAAAACUUUAAUAAAAAAUCCAAGUUAAUAGAUUAAUAGAGUUCAACAUAAAGAUCAAUAAUAUUUAAAAAAAAUUUAAAAAUAUUAUUUGUAACUCAAAUUUGAUAUAUAUUUAUUCAAUGAUAAAAAUUCUUUUAAUUUUUUUACUAAAAAUAUCUAUUUAAUAAAUUAUUAAAAUUUAUUAAUUUUUUAAAAAAUUUUGUAUUUUGAUCUAUGUAAUGAGAUAUUUAAAUUUAUUAAUUUAAAAUUUUAAUUUUAGUUUUUAUUUAUUCAUUUUUAAUUAAAAAACUUUACAAACUUCACCUAUUGAACUUCAUGUAACUAUUUUUCAUAAUUAUUGACUUUUUUUAAUCAAAUCGAACUAAUGGAUUCUAAGGAUUCGAAUCUAAUUAAAAUUUUUAUUAUUCAAUAUAACAUUUCUUGUGGUGAAAUGAAAUAUAACUUUCGAAUUAAAAAUGCAAAAUAAUCAAUUUAACGUGUAAACUUGAGCCCUUAACUAAUGAUAAGUGGGUGUAUUUUUCUCUUGAUUUCGAACUUGUUUAAUAAAAAAAUAAAUCAACGUAUUAAUUUGGCAUUACAUUAUUUAAAAAUAUAUUUUUUUAUUGUAUCGUUUUCACCUUUUAGACAGUCACCUGCGUUAUAUUUGGCUUUUUAUUUUUAAGUUCACACUAUCAAGAUCAUUGACUUUCUUGGUCUAAUUUGUAAUCCUUCUUCUUCUCUCUCUUUUUUUUAUUCUUCCCAAGUGUAAUUGAUUAUAACCAAUAGAGUAAAAAAAAAAUCCUCAAGGAGUUUGUCAGAUAGCAACUAAGGGAAUGGAUCUUGACAAAAGAAGGCAAUAAUUCAAGCUGAUGGUCGAAAUGUCUAGCAAAUGUACAACACAGUUGGAGAAACAUCAGCCUCAGAAAGCAACCCCUUAGGCCUUCAACACACCAAAUUUUCAACCAUGGCGGUGAAAAAAAAAAAAAAAAUUGAUGAACCUGGGUUCAGAUUUUAUACCAUUUUCCUCAUCGCUUUUUCUCCGUGACUACAACAGGUCAGCAGGUACAUACUUAAUUCCAUUGUCUGUUUGCAUCCAGGGGAAUGGAUCUUGAGAAAAAUGGAGUAAACAUUCUGAUAUCAGAUUUGUUAAUUUUAGAGGUUGAAAAUCAACCUCUAUCUCAACUCAAAGUCCCAAGUUAAAAUUUUUUUCUCCUUUUCCAGGGCAGUUAAAUUGCAUGCUAUAAAUGGAUUCAUAUCUCUUGUAUUUAACAUUCUUUUGAUGAAUUUGCAGAAAAGCGAAUUGAUCUUGACAAAUUAUACCCUAUCUGGAAUUUAUUCAAAAGGCUAGCAAAUCAAAUUACAAACUUUCUAACAUCACCAUGCUUCAAUGUUCCAGAAAAUUUCUAGUGCAGAAAUUGUACUUUGACCUGGUGUAUCAUCUAUACUACGCUUUUGUAUAUUAAUUUUUUUAAAACACCUUUAUCAUUGAAUCAAAUAUUCAGAUUCAAAUAAAACAUUACCUAGAAAUUGUUCAUCUAAACCUCUUUUUGCAUUGAAUUUCUGAUACGUAUAAAAGCUCUUAUGGAUGGUCAAGAAUUAAUGUGACAAUUUGCUUUGAAUGAUUGUGACAAGAAAAUAUGUAUAUAUAUAUAUAUAUGUGUGUGUGUGUGUGUGUAUAAAUAUGUGUCCCUUCACUUUCCUUGCUUUGUAUAUAGGAAGUGCAAAGUUCACAUUCUAAUUGUUUUUAGUAACUAAGGGGAAUGGAUCUUGACAAAUUGAAGGGCAUUGCAAUUUGCAGUUAAUUUAUACAUAAAGCUAUAAGUAGGUUCAAUUCAUCUAUCUAUAUUUUCAUACUUAAUUAAUUAACCAGUCACUCAUCAUUUAUUCUAAGAUCUUUUAAUAGAGAAGUGUUUUAUAGUCCUUCUAAAUUACUAUAUCCCAUAAAAAAAAAAAGAUGUCAGCCUUAAAUUUCUUCAAUCACAAUUAGACUUUUACUAACAAAGAUAAAAAAAAAUUCCUGGUCUAUAAAUAUGAUUAGCUAGGGAAAGAAUUAUGAGUAUAUAAUGAUAUUUGGUAGUAAUUUUUCUGCAAAAGCGACACAAAUUUUUGUAAAAAAUAUUAAACAAUUUUAUUAUUAUUAUUAUUAUUAUUGUAUUUAAGAAUAUCAAAGAGAAUUAACCAUAGAGUAAGGAUGAGAGAGAGAGAUUGAGAAAGAGAGUGAGUGAGUGAAAGAGAGAGAGAAAGGGCUUUUGGAAUGGUAGGUGUUAAAGUGAAUUAUCCCAUGUUUAAUAAAUUUUUGAUAUCUUAUAGUUUUAUAUUCAGAUUAAAUCUUUUCACUUACUGUUAAUUAGUAAUGAGUGAGAUGCUUAAUAUGAUAUUAGAGUCAAAAAAAUAUUUUCAUUGCCUUUUCUUAAUUUUUCACGAGGAAGGCUUUUUCUAUUUUCGCUUAUACGUGAUGAAGGCCUAUUAAUAUAGGUUAUCUGAUAUCUAUAGUCUUAUAUUUAAGCCUAUAAUUUUAUAUUCAGGUUGGACCUUUUCACUUAUUGUCAAUUGAUAAUGAGUUGGAUGUUUAACAAUAUGGAGCAUAGCCUAGGUUUCAAAUAACAGUCGGAUAGUAAUAUAGCAGCCGCUAUUUUGUGGUAGCGCCACCAUCCAUUACUGUUGCUAAAGAAAAAACGAAAGAGAAUUUAAAUCUCAUCAAUAACGGUGUAUCGUGGCCAUGACUUGCGGUGUAAUGUUGAAUAGUGGCAAUAGCGGUCCAUUGUUGCCCGCUACUCCGUUUUUCAUUCAAAAAUUCAAAAAUUUUUUUAUUUGACUUUGGUUAAAAACUUAAAAUAAAAAUAGCAAGCCAAAAAAUAAACAUUAAUUCAUAAUUUUAGGGAAAAAAAACCCACAAAACUUAAACUUUCAAAGAUAUCAAUUCUCUCAAAUUCAACUUCAAUCAAGAUUAAGUACAUGUAGUUUAAAGUAAGCAAUUAAUUCAAUACUCAAAUUACUUUUUUUUUUUUAAUUUCAAAAUUUAUCGUGAUUUUAUGUGUUUGGGAUUGGACUGAGUUCCGGUGCACUACUAAGGAGUUGCUAGGACUUAAAAUGAGAGACAAGAGAUGAAAGUGAGACUUGAGAUUGAGGGAGACGAGCAUAUAGCACAAAAAAAAAAAAAAGGAAGCUGAGAGAUGGGGAUAAGGAUGAAGGUUUGAAGAAAAAAUUUAUUGAAUGCAAGGUGAGGGGAUGAAAAGUUGUAUGGAUCUAUGCAAUUUAGUCAAGAGGUAAAGGAAAAUAGACUUAAGGCUAUUAUUGUUGAAGAUUGCCCUUAAUAGGGAGGCUACAAAGUUUGAUUUACUGUAAGCCCAUAAAUAGUAAUGCUCUUGCUUAAUAUAUGAUGUCUAAUCACUUGUUAGAUGAUUUAUACGCAAUAUAGUUCGAUAAUAAUUUGAUGAGUAUGAUAAUUAAAUAAUUAAAUAUAUCAUUCCUUAUGAUUAUUUAUUUUUCAUAUAUUUUUUAUCUCUUGUUAUUUUUUAAUUAUCAUAUGAGUAAUUUUUUAAAUAUGAAUAUUUUACUAUAAAUAUUUUUUUAAAUAAAUAAAACACAUGACAUGAUAUAAAUUACUUUAAAAAUCAUAAAAUAAGAGAUUUUAUGAUUAAUAAUUAAAAUUAUUAUAUUUUAUCGCAAGUUAAGCAAAAUUAAAAAAAAUUCACGUUCGUAAUAGCCGUAAUGACUGUAAAAGUCUUUGUUAUAUUUGUAAUCGUGAUUAACGCGAUACAAUAAAAAACAUGACCGUUAUCGCAAUUUAAAUCCCUGAGCAUAGCCACAGUCAUUUUCGAAAUUCAGAUGCUUUUUAGAGGAGAAUGUUCAAUGGACAAGGAAGUUGGUUUCUAUAUUCGUGGACAAUAUGCACCCACAAAGUAAGGAUGUUGACCUAUGGGAUCUUAUAAAGAAGCCUGGCACAAUAAUGGACUUCUACAUCCCUGUAUAUAGAAGGAGAUCAAGACGAAGCAGGUUUGGCUUUGUGAGAUUCAAAGACAUGAGGGAAGCAUUGAAUGUCAUCAGGGCAUCGGACGGAAUAGUAUGGAAGGGUUGGAACCUAAAAGUGAGUUUGGCAAAGUAUAAAAGGCAAUUUAGUGGCAAGAUGAGCAGUAACUUUUGGAGAAGAAAAGAUCAUAGAAGGGUGGAUUAUCAUCAUCAAAGUUAUGUGGGCAAAGGAAAAACGUAAACAGAGGCUGUAAAAGGUACACGGGCAGAUUAGUCAGACAAUAAGAAACCAAAGCACAAGAAUGUUGAGGACGAAGAGAUAAAGGAGAUAGUUAAAGAGACAGAAAUGGAGUAUGAAACCAGAAACCAGGCCCCCUUGGAAGAAGAUGAACUAGAAAAGGAUUGGUUGGAAAAAUGUGCAGUCGCAGAGGUCAAGAAUCCACAAACCAUCCACUUGCUAAAACAUCACAUUACCAGUCAGGGUGUGUUACAGUUGUCAGUCAUGGUAAUGGGAGGUAGUAUGGUAUCGCUGUCAUUCGAAUCAAAGGAUGAAAUGCUAGGUAUGUUGGAAGAAAAAUAAAUGUGGCUCAAAAAGUGGUUUUUUGGACAAAACCGAGGAAUGAUGAUUUUAUUUCAUAUGAUAAGUUUGUACGGCCGAAAUUAGAAAAUGUUCCUCUGCAUGCGUGGAGUUAUGGAGUCUUCAAAAGAAUUGGGAACCAUUGGGGAAGCUUCAUCAUUCUAAAUAAUAUCAUAAUGAGCAAAAAAAGAUCAGAUGUGGCUAGAGUUUUAUCUCUAGUAAAGAAGGACGUCCAUCUGCCAAGUUCAUUUUCAUUGCGUCUUAAUGGAAGAAGUUACGUUAUUAAUAUGAUAAUUGAAGAUGGUCCCGAGUUUCUUUGGAAUCUUGGGGUAAAGAAGAUUCAAAAUGCAAUGACAGCCACUUCAUUGUUGAGCUUCAGUUUAUCGGAAACGUCGGGGGAGGAAGAACACAACACUCACAAGUAUGAAGGAGGGUUGGGCAGUUGGAAAGGUGUGAAUGAAGAUGUAUAGUCAAUAGACAUAGAAGAGGAACAGCUAAGCGAAAGUUGCAGAAGGAGGGACAACUAUCAUUGUAACGAAUUAUCGAGGAAUAAAAACAUAGCUGGAGGAGUAAUUAACUUACAGAAUCUUUCAAAAGUUUUGUCUUUUCAAGAAGUCUCGGAUGAAUCAAAGUUAUUCCAUAAGGGAACCUAUGAGGAUCUAAUGGUUGAAAGGGUCCCACUAGAUGAAGCAACACAGAUGGGAGGUAGAGAAUGUGUUGUUGGGAACUCCAAAAAAGUAAAUAAUAGCCCAACAGUCCAUCAUGAUGGGCUUUUAAAAAAAUAAGAGGGUUAAUGUGCAACUGGGAGUGAAUUCCAGCCCAAAUAUUAGCAAGUGGGAGAUACCAGACAAAAAAGAGCUAAAUAAGGAGACACCGAUAGUUGUUAGCCCAAUACCAUUAGAUAAUCAACAAGGCCCAAUUAAAGAAGAUUACCUUGUAUCCAGUCGUGGGCUAAGAAUGGAAAAAAGAAACAAGAAGUUUAUGUUGGUGAAUGAGUGUAGCUUAGACUAGUGGCACAAACACAAAGAUAGUAGGAAACUAAAAAAGGGGAAAAGGAUCCAAACCAGAGAUAUUCUACAAGAGAAUGAAAGAAAAGAACCGAAGACUGAUGAAGAAGCUAAUCUAUUUGAUGAAAAUAGAGUGCUUGGGAAAGAAGCAAAAAAAAAAAAUGUUAGAGGUGGGGAUUCUCCUCGAUCUAUUAGCCAAAACAAAGGAAAGAGAAGCUGUGGAGAAAUUAAUUACCAUGGGGGUGUGUAGAAUAUUUAAGAGUUAGAUAAGGAAUAAAGUCAAAUUCCUUAUCUUUAGGAUAAGGUUUAGUUCUUAUCUUUUUGAGUUUUUUUAUCUUUCUGUUUUUUUUUUAAAAUUUUUUUUUAAUCUUUUUUGUUAUCCAUUUUAGUUUAUUUAUUUUAUAGUUGUUUUCUAUGAAAAUAAGAGUGAAGAUGAAUUUUUUAUUUUAAAAAACUAACAAAGGUAUAAGAGCUAGAGAGUUGAGUUUAAAUCAGAAAAUUUGGAGAUGGCAAAAACUAAUGGAGAUAACAGAGCUUUCUAGGUGUCCAAUACUAAUCAAGUGCAACAAAUCACUUCGAAAAUGCUUCCUUUCACCAAGAGUCUCCCUUUUUUAAUGUAAACUCUAAUCCGUCUUCAUCUUGUUCAUUUGCCUAAAAAGGUAACCAUCUCACAACAGCUUUAGUUAGUGUUGUUCCACUCCUUGUCAUCCAUGGAUCAUUAAUUUCGGUGCAACUAAUCACAUGAUUGGAACUUCUAAUAUGUUUUGUUCUCCUAAAACUUGUGCAAGGAGUCAAAAAAUCAAAAUAGCUGAUGGAUCUUUUACGGUUAUCAUUGGAAAAGGGUGCAUAGUUCUUUUUCCCUUUCUUACACUCUAUAAUGUUCUUCAUGUCCCUAAUCUGUCAUGUAAUUUGUUGUCUAUUAGCAAAUUAAUUGAUAAUCAAAACUGUCAUGUUAAUUUUUUCUCUUCUAAAUGUGAAUUCCAGGAUUUAAACUCUGAAAAGAUGAUUGUCAAUGCUAGACAAAGUGGAGGACUUUACUUCUUUAAAGAUGGAAUUGACUUAAAAAGACAAUCUUAAAGUACUUGUCUCAAAUCCAUAUCUAUUGUUAGUGAUAAUGAAAUUUUUUAUGGCAUUUAAGGUUAGAACAUCCAAGUUUUCAGUAUUUAAAAUAUUUGCUUCCAAAGUUAUUCAUCAAUAAGAAUCCAUCUUCAGUGAAAUUUGUGAGUUAGCAAGACACCACUGUGCAUCAUUCCCCUCACAGCCAUAUAAAGCAUCAAAACUUUUUGCUAUAAUUCAUAGUGAUGUUUGGGAACCUUCUAGAACUUUUACACUUUUAGAAAAAAGAUGGUUUACCACUUUCAUUGAUAAUCAUACUCGUAUGUCUUGGGUAUAUUUACUAAAAGAAAAGUCAGAAACUUAGUUUUAAACAAAUAUUAAAAAAUUUUGAAGUGGUAAUGGGAAAGAAUAUUUUAAUAAAAUUUUGGGAAAAUAUUUUGAGAAAAAUGGUAUUGUCCUCCAAAGUUCUUAUAAUGAGGAAAAAACAAACAUCUUUUUGAGGUUUCUAGAUCUUAAGUAUUUACAGCUAAGGUUCCUAAAUAUUUAUGACGGAAGGCUAUUCUUAUUGCCACUUAUUUGAUCAAUAGGAUGCCAUUAAAGGUAUUACAUUUUCAAACUCCCUCAGAUUUAUUCGAAAAUGUUUUCCCACAUCAAGGAUUUUGGUCAAUAUUCCUCUAAAGAUUUUGGUUGUAUUGCAUUUGUUCACAUUCACAAUUAUAACAAGGGAAAACUUGAUCCAAGAGUAAAAGAAAUAUGUUUUUAUUUAUUACUCUCCAACACAAAAAAGGAUACAAAUGUUUUGAUCCCAUUUUGAAAAGAUAUUUGUUACUAUAUAUGUCACUUAUUUUUUUUAAAAAAAAAUAUGAUUUUAAUUAUCAUCUUCAGGGGGAGAGUAAAAAUGAAGAUUCUGUCUUUGACAUCUAAAUAGAAAUGCCACCUAUGAUGUCUACCUUAAAUUCAGAGAUACUUGCAAACCUUAGAAUGAAAAUGAAGAUUUUGUCUUUGACAUCUAGAUAGAAAUGCUACAUGUGAUGUCUACCCUAAAUUUAGAGAUACUUGCAAACCCUACUUCAGAAAUACUCGAGAUUACCAUGGAAACAAAAAUGUUAAAUGCUAAAAGCAAUGGACAGCCCCCUGUUGUGUUAUCAGAAAAUUACCUAGAACUAGAAAUUUGUGAAAAACCAAGUAAAAAAUUGAAUGAAUUCAUUGUUUAUUCAAGAAAGAAUCCUGAUCAAAGAAAAAAGUAGUCCACUUUGCAGCAGUCCAGGAAUCUAAUUUGAGAAUAUAUGAAAUUUCUAUCAAUUCUCCAAGUAAAUCCAUAUCUGAAUCGAGUUUCUUUAAGCCUGAUUCCCAAAUUGAGUUUGUUAAUGAUUUAGAUGUUCCAAUUGCUCUUAGAAAAGGUACUAGAGAAUGUACUAAACAUCUAUUAUCUAAUUUGGUGUCAUAUGAAAAGUUGUCUUCCUCUUUUCUUGUAUUUACUUCUCAAUUAUCUAGUAUAGACAUUCUUAAAAAUGUACAUGAUGCUCUUAAAGUUCCUAAAUGGAAGGAACUUGUACUUAAAAAGAUGAUAGCUCUUGAGAAAAAUAAGAGCUAGGAAGUAAUGAUUUUGCUUAAAGAAAAAUCCACAGUUGGUUGUAAAUGGGUAUUUACAGUGAAAUACAAUUCUGAUGGCUCCCUAGAAAGAUAUAAAGCUCAACUAGUGGUGAAAGGAUUUACUUAGACAUAUCGUAUUGACCACUUAGAAACAUUCACUCCAGUGGCCAAACUAAACAUAGUGAGAGUGCUAUUAUCAAUUGCUGCAAAUUUGGACUGGCCAUUGCAACAAUUGGAAUUAAAAAUGCAUUUCUCAACAAAGAUUUGAAAGAAGAAGUUUAUAUGGACUCUCUUUUGGGUUUCACUGAAAAAUUUGGAUCAAAGGUGUGCUAGCUAAAGAAGUCAUUAUAUGGACUCAAACAAUCAUUUAGAGUAUGGUUUGAUAAAUUCACUCAAUUCGAUAAAGAAACAAGGUUACAUUCAGGGGCAAACUGAUCACACCUUGUUCAUGAAAUUUUCACAUGAAGGGAAAAUAAUAGUGUUAAUUGUCUAUGUGGAUGAUGUUAUUCUUACUGGAGAUGACUUGCUCAAAAUAAAAAGGCUAAAACAGGUUGUAGCUUUGGAAUUUAAAAUUAAGGACUUGGGAUCAUUGAGGUACUUUCUUGGAAUGGAAGUUGCACGGUCCAAGAAAGGCAUAACUGCCUCACAAUGAAAGUACAUCCUUGAUCUCCUAAAAGAAAUAGGUAUGAGUGGCUGCAAAUCGACUGAUACUCUUGUCGAAUACAACUUGAAAAUAGGAAAAAGUGACAAAGAACUCCUGUUGAUACAAAACGAUAUCAGAAGUUGGUAGGCAAACUGAUAUAUUUGUCACACACUCGACCAGACAUCGCCGUUGCAAUUAGUUUAGUGAGUCAAUUCAUGAACUGUCCAUACGAAAAGCAUCUUGAAACUGUUUAUAGGAUUCUAAAGUACUUAAAGAGCACUCCAAGAAAAGGAUUAUUGUUCAAGAAAAAUGAACAACAAGGAGUUGAAAUUUUUGCUGAUGCUGAUUGAGCCGGAUCAAUCAUUGAUAGAAGAUCAACCUCUAGAUAUUGUAUAUUUGUCUAGGGUAACUUGGUUACUUAAAGAAGCAAAAAACAAAGUGUGGUGGCACAAAGCAACACUGAACUAGAGUUCAAAGCUAUGGCACAAGGAAUUUGUUUGAGAUAUUAUGGUUGAAACGUGUCCUAGAAGAACUAAGUAGGCCUAGCAACCUUCUUAUAAAAUUAUACUGUGACAAUAAAGUAGCCAUUAGUAUUGCGCACAACCCGGUACAACAUUAUAAAACAAAACAUGUCGAUAUUGGUAGGCAUUUCAUAAGGAAAAAUUUGAGGAUGGUGCCAUAUGCCUGCUAUUUGUUUCGACAACACAACAAAUAGCAGACAUACUAAUAAAGGGGCUUUUAAGGCCUAAUUUCGAGUUUCUUGUCAGUAAGUUGGGGUUGACAGACUUUUAUAGACCAGCUUGAGAGGGAGUGUAGAAGAUUUAGGAGUUAGUUAAGGAAUAAAGUCAAAUUUCUUAUCUUUAAGAUAAGAUAUAGUUCUUAUAUUUUUUAUUUUUUAUUUUUAUCUUUCUGUUUUUUUUGAAUUUUUUUUGUCUUUUUUGUUAUCUAGUUUAGUUUAUUUAUUUUGUAGUUGUUUUCUAUGAAAAUAAGAGUGAAGAUGAAUUUUUUAUCCUCAAAAACUAAAAGGGAGGAAGAGGACGAAUGAGAAGGUAAUUUCUAAAUGAUGAUGUACAUUUUUUUGGCUAAGAGUUUAUUGAAUCCAUGAAAAUCAUCUUUUUCAAUAUAAGAGGAAUAGGUGCAAAGGUAAAGAAAAGGGCAUUCAAGAAGCUUAUCAAAGGGAGAAGCCAACUAUGGUAUGUUUACAAGAAACAAAAUGCAUAGGAGUAACAGAUAGGAUUAUAACGCAGCUCUGGGGCAGUAAAGGAAUAAAUUUCGCACACAACGAUGAAAUUGGUUUGGUAGGAGGUUUAAUCUAUAUAUGACCAGUGGAUGCUUUCCAGGUAAUAUUUACUGCUAUUAAUGAAAGACACAUCUGGCUGCACUACAAGAAAAUCUAUUUUUUUCUUUUUUUUUUAAAAAAUUUUUUGACGAUUUCAUCGUGCACUCAAGUACUCUUGUGAAAGAAAAAAUCUUGUAAAGAAAAUAGACAAAAGCAAAGUUGGUUGUGAGGAUUCUGCAAGAAAUAAAUUCUUUAGUUCAAGUGUCCAUGUUUGAUUAAAAUGGACUUUUCAAAGUAUGUAACAUAAGCCAAUGUUUGAGGUUAUAAAGGAAUGGAUAAAUAGGCCCAAAACAUGUGUUUAAAGGUGACCAAGAAUCAUUUCAUAUCAUGUGAAAGAAUUUCUUUUGGACAUUCAUAAUUUUUAUUUCUUCGGUUGUAACAUCCAAUCAUCUUAUUCUUUUUUUUUUUUUGUUUUCUGUUUUGUUUUCACUUUUGCUCUUUCUUGCGUAUUAUGACAUUUGCUAGAAUAUGUUCAAAACUCAAUUUGUUUGACAUUUGCCCCUACAACUUAAGGCAUUCUUUCUUUGUUGUCGAACCAUGACUUCAUCAAAUAAAUCUUUUUUUGUAUUUUUUCCUAAUGUAGAAGGUGAUCUUUGAUCAAAGUUCAUUUAAAAAGAAUUCACUACACUUAAAGGGGUAGCAAAUGGAUAAAUUCUUAUUUGUGAAAGAAAAAAAAUGGCCAUUCAUCAUCUCAAGCCCGAUUACUUAUGUUGAAGAAUGAUUCCUUGAGAAACCUAGAAUUUUGUUUUUAUCACCUUUCUUUUUUUUUUUUUUUUGGUUUUUCUCUUUUUAUGAUCAUUUGAAUAUCUAGAGCGCACAAUGUAACUAUCAACAUUUUUUAUUUUAUUUUAUUUUUGUUUUUACAACUCAUAUAACAAUCAAUCUUUGCCCUAUUUUAAUAAAUCAUUAAGGUUUAUGUGACAAUGAAAAUCAUGUUGAAAGGGUUUAUUUGGGUCUUGAUUGUGCACAUCAUCACCAAAUUGCAUAGUGGCAUGAACUUGGUAAUUUUGUGGUAAUUAGAAAUCAUUCUCUACAGUCAACAUGACCCCUAGAUAAAAAGGUGCAUUGUGUAUUCAUGGCUAUGAAUUUUUGUUUGAAGCAUAGUUUUGACACCUAUCAACUCACCAACAUCUAGAUAAAAAAAACAUCAUAUUUGUCUGAUUUUCAAAGAACUCAGAAGGUUGCCUUGACAAGAGUUAUCACAAAGUUCAAACCUGUAUCCUUUAAAGUAUUAAAGCUUUUUUUUUCAAGUGAUUUUAGGAUAUGAAAAAGACAUGAGAAUAGUUUAUUUAGAUAGAUUCAUAAUAACAACCACCAUUUUUUUUGAAACUUUUUAUUAUGAAAAGAAAAGAAAUUUUUUUAAAAAAACUUUAGACCAAAGAAAAUCCUCUCAAUUAGCAUUUAGAUUCAACUUUCAUACAAGUUACAAAGUUCGUAUGCAUGUUUAAUAUAGAAGUGAAAAAGGAAACAAAAAGGUCACACUUUUUAAAUCAAUCCACCUUUUUGCAACACCAAAAAAGCCAUUAUUUUUUCAAAAAACCCACAAAACCAUUCUUCAAUUCCUCAUCCAUCCAUUACAUCCAAAUUAUUCAUAUCAAGUUAGAGAGCUUUCAACAACAUGAUGAUCUCUUUUAGUUUCAAAUUCUAAUUUUCUAACUUUAAUGAGAUUUCUAACAUUAUAUUUUAGUGUAAGACAGUUCUUAGUUGGUGGCUUUGAUUUUCAUUAUGGUAAUCACACUUUGCAUUAGAAUCAUACCAUUUUAGGUAAGGGGGUUGAAGGGGUUCUAGAUGCACAAGCUCCAAAAGUUAAUUCUGAAUAAGUUGGUGUAACAAUUCAGUGUAAGAUAUGGGAAUAGGGUCAAAAAUGGUUCUUUUUAUGGCAUUUCUUAAGGCUUUUGGACCACUACUUAGAUUAGGUCUCCAUUCUAGUCUAGUAGGUGCAGUGGGAUUGGUGGGUGUCUGAAAGGAUAGUUAGAAAUAGGGUGGAUAAGCUAGUUGUUGUAGUGGCUAAUAUGGCUGAUAUGGAUGGGGGAUAAAUGUAACAUUGUUUAUGGAAGGGUAAUGGGUUUGGCACAUUGGUACGGGGUAUAGCGUGAAAUCUCUAAACUGUUGCCCCAUAUAGUUCACUAUUUGGGCUUCGUUUUCUUUCUCUUUGGUAGUUCCACUUUUCUUUGCUUUGCUCAUCUCUCUUAAAUCAAGUUUGCUUUUUUAUAGUAUUUUUAAUAAUUUCACCUGAUAUCACCAUAUCUAUAAAAUUAGUUGCAUUCACUAUUAAUCUCUCAUAAUAUGGUGCCUUUAGGGUGUUCACAAAUAAGAUAGUUGUUUCUUUCUCAAUGAGAGAAGGUUGUACUUAUGCAACCAUAUCUUUCCAUCUCUGUGCAUACUCUUUGAAGCUUUUUGUUGCUUUUUUUUUCAUGUUUUGUAAAGAUAGACGAUCUGGAGCUAAAUCCAUGACAUGUCGAUAUUAUGCAAUGAAUGCCAUUGUGAGCUCUUGCUAGGAAUGAAUGCGAGUCCUGACUAGUUAAACAUACCAUCUAACUGUAGAUCCCGUAAGAUUAUCCUGAAAUACAUGCAUCAACAGCUUCUCAUCACAGUAUGUGCCGUCAUUUUACGAUAAUACAUGGUGACAUGAGUCAUUGGGCAUUUUGUACCAUCAUAUUUUUCAAAUUCAAGAACCUUGAAUUUGGGUGGAAUAACCACAUCUGGGAUCAAACAAAGCUUGGUUAUAUCCAUAGAGCCAUAAAAAUCCAUUCCCUCUAUAGCCCUAAGUCUUUUUUCUAAUAAUUUCAUCUUCUGUUGGGCACUGAUAUCUUUUACUUUCUCAAGUGCUUUUAUCCCUAGCUUUUCUCUCUUCUUGGGAUCAUCCAAAUCAGGAAUCAAAAUUGGCUCGGGUGGUUUUUCCAUUAUAACAAGAUUAGCAAAAUCUUGAAAUUAUCUUGGAACAGGUGUAAAUAUCAUUCUUGGAUAAGGAUUAGAAUAUCCUCUAGGAUUAGGAAUUUGCACUCUAGUUCCUUGAGAAGGUUGAGUUGGUUGUGGUUCAAACCUUGGAGGGUAAAUAGGAUCCACUAUGUCUGGUAAUUGCUCUUGAAAGCUAGAAUUUUCUUCUAUCGUAUUUCUUUUAUCAAGUUUCUUAAGCAUGUCCAAGAUCUUAUCAAUAUCCCUUUUUAGUUCUUCUUGAGCCUUCUCCAUCCUCUUAAAUCAACUAGCCUGUUCUUGUUCCAUGAUUCCUGUUUGAGCUCUGGUGUUGUAUAAAUGACAAGUUUUUUGAGUCAAAAUUUUUGGUGGAGAAGUUAUUAUUAAACCUUUAUUACCAUAAAAUUUUUUGAAAAAAAAAUCAAAAUGCCAUUUGUUAAAAUUUUUAUUUUUCAUUUUUUUAUUUAAAAAAAAAAACAAGAAUGGUGCACAUGAUGCAUGAAUGCAAAUGGAAGAUAUUUAUUUUUGGAGGAAUUUCAGCACUAAAAAUUCUCAUUAAUUUCAUACAACUUUUGUUACAUGAGAUCUGAGCAAAUCCAUAGUUCUAUGGGAUCUAUGAAGAACUUCUCGAGAAAAAGAUCUUUUAGAACAAAUACCUUGAUGCAGAACCGUAUGAUAUGAUUUAUGUAAAAAGAAAAAAAAAACAGAAUUGAGUUAGUGUGUUGUUUGAGAUUAAAAGUUUUUGUUUUGUUUUGUUUUCGUUUUUGUUUGUGUUUUUUUAUUACACUCAACUUUUAUUCCUACACAUUUUUUACUUAGUUAUUUUUUAAAAAAAGAUAGGUGAAGCUCUACCUAAGGUUGGCUCAUUAUAUGCUUAGUUUAGAUUGAUACGCAUCUAAAGGUUCUCAAAUUUUCUUUACUAUCAUUCAUGUUGGACUAGUAAGGUACCCCGAUCCUCACCCAUUAUAGGCUAUAAACAGAAAUGGUUCAAUUUAAAUGGAAGUAUUUCGCUUACCAUUGUAGAGGUCAUCACCUCACGAGGCAUAGGUACUUUACUUCCUCUUAUAAGGGACAAAGCUUAGGUAUAGAGCUCAUGCAUGAAAUGCAUCAUGUCAUUGUGUGUGCAAAUGUAUCCUAAUUUAUCAAGAGUGAUAUAUACAGAAAAAAAUAAUAAAAAAAUGUGUAUGAAAUUUUUUUUUGUUUUUGAUUUGUUUUCUUUUUAUCUGUUGGUUAUUUUUUCUUAGUAAAAAAAUCUAGAAAUUAAAAAUUAAAUAUCGAUUAAAACUGUUAAAAUCAAAAUUUAAAGAUAACAUGUAAUUAAUUAUGGCCUGACUCUCGAUAAAAAAUGGCAUCUCCAAUGAGUCGUCAAGCUGUCGUAACGGUUUUGGAGCCACCCAACGAAUUUGGAAAUGAAAAUGAAAAUAAAGUCGCCACUAAUCUUUUUUGGCUAGGUGCGAUUGAUCAUCUAUUAAAAUUUAUCCUUUUAAUAAGAUUUUAAAAUUAAUUAAAAUUUAUUAAAAAGAUAAUUUUAUAGUUUACGAAACAAUCUGGGUUUAAGAAUCGGUUACGCGUAGGAAAGGAUUAGCACCCGCACAGUGUCCGUUUAAAAACGGUACCACUUAACUACGUAUUAUCCUUUGAUUUGGAUAAAAAACAGUCUCAUUUUCGAUGUUUGAAAAAUAAUUUUCUUAAUUUUUUCAUUUAUUGAAAAUUGGUUUAUUUUAUUUUAUUUUAUGUUAUUUAUUGUUCAAGUUUAAUUUGAGAAAAAUAAAUUAAAACCCUUUUAUUGAAAUAAUUAUUAAAAUAUUUCAGUACGUUAGUAACGUUAUAAGAACUCUUUUUCACAUAGAGAUUUGUUAGGCAUCGCUUCUCGGAAUACCUUAAAAUCUCAUCCUCGGAGGUUUGAAUUUACUUUUCGUAAAAAUUAUGUUAUGCAUGCUAUGCAAGAUGUUAAUAUGUUGAAGCACAUAUUUUAUUUUUUUUCUUGGAAAUUUUAUUGAUAUUUUUUAUUGAAUUAUUGUUUCUAUUAAAGAAAAGAGAAAAUUUUUAUCAUAUUGAAGAUUUUUAUAAAUAUUCCAAUACACUAAUAAUAUUUUUAAAAAAAUUUUUCACCUAGAGAUUUCAUAAAGUAUCACUACUCGAAUACGUUUAGAAUCCCGUUAUCGGAUAAAAUGUUUUUUUCCUUAAUUUUUUAUCACUUAUUAUUUUUAACAAAUUAGUUUAUUUUUAUUUUAUAACAAAAGAAAAUUUUUAUUGUAUUUAAAAUUUUUUAUAAAUACUUCGAUACACUGGUAGUAUUAAAAAAAUCUUCUCACCUAGAGAUUUCAUAGGUAUUACUACUCGGAGUACCUUUGAAUCUCAUUGUCGGAUAAAAAUUUUCUUUUCUUAUUUUUUAUUAUUAUUUUAUUAUUUUAUAAGACUUAUUUUGAAAAUAACAAAAUUAUUACAAAUUUUUACUAUAUAUUUCAUUAUUUAUUUUUAUUAAUUAUUAUUAUAAAACAAUAAAAAUUUAUUCUAAUAAAUUUAAACAUUUGAACAUGCAUAAAUAUUAAUAAUAAAAUUUAAAAUAACAAAAAUAAUUUUUAAAAAAAUAAAAAAAUUUCACCUGAAUCGGAUCAAUCAACGGUUCGGUCAAUAUCAGUCCAAGCGGUUCGAUGGUCUAGUCUCGUUUAGCAGUUCGACACUGGUCUGACUCAAUCUGGGUGGGUUUAGCUGGACCUAUUAGAGGCUGAAUGAGAAGUGGGUCGUCUAGUUGGGAGCGCGGAUCUCAGGUUAGGUCGGUGGGUUAACUCACUGAUCUUGGGCUUAAAACGAUGUCGUUUUGGUCCUUUAAUGAAACAACGUCAUUUUGGCUUUCAGCUUUCUAUAAAAGCCAAAAAAAAAAAAAGUUCUCUCAUUUUUCUUUUCUCCCUAUUUCUCUACACCUCUCCCUCUUUCAAAGCUUUUCUCUCUAGACUGAUCGAUCGAUCACCGACCGCCGCUCUGGCCGUCAGUCACCGUUAUCGAAGUCAAAAAAUCCUAAAAUAUACGAAAAUAUUCUCCUCGAAGCGCUCUUUCUGGAUUUGGUCUCCUUUUCAUUGGGAAUAGCUCCGAUCGACUUAGAUAGGGGCUUAAAGUUUCAGUCUCUUUUUUUUUUAUAGACUAAAAUUGAUUUUUUUUUUGUUGCAGGGGCUUAGCGCUGAUGGUUCCUCUUUAUGGAGAGGAUUGUGUUGUUUUUCUUUUUGGUUUUUGGCAAGCUUUUUGGUUCUUUUUUUUUUCUAUGUGUGUUUGAUGAGUACAGGUCUAUAGGCGUGGUUUUUUGGAUGAGGUAGGAUCGGGUGUAGCAGGGGCUUGUGGAGGGGGUGAAAAUGGGUGCUGAGGGGCUAGGUGUAUGGGGGCUUGGUCUCCAGCGCAGAUCCGUCUGGCUUGUGGGUUUUAUAGGGCUGAUUGGGGGAGCAAGUGGUGGCUAGUUUGUGGUAGGUUUCAAGAGUCAGAGGAUUAAAAGGCAGAGUAUGGUGGUGAUGGGGCUACAGUUCUGGUGAGCAAAGGGUGGACAAAUGGUGGCAGUGGUGCCAUGCACGGCACCCACUACCAUCAACCCCUUUGUUUUUUUUUUUUUUUUGUAUUUUUGUUUAAUUAAUAAAUUAAUAAAAUAAAAGAUAAAUAGGUUUUGGGCUUAAAAAUGAAAUUAGACCUCGGGCCCAAUCAAAAUUAGGUCUUGGGUUCAGUUGAAAUGAAAUUGGGCUUCAAGCCUGAAAACCUAAUAUAUUUGACAAAUUUUAAAUGAAGAUCUAAUUCAAAAGCCUGAACAAAUUUGGUGUCUACAGUUAUACAUGUUAACCUAUAUCAAAUUUGGAGUUUAUGGUUGGUAUUUCUUUUUCUCCUUCCUAAGAAUCUAAUAGUUUGAUAUAUAUAUAUAUAUAUAUAUAUAUACUUUACUUCAAGCUUAGACUAUGCCUUUUAUUCAACUAUAGGCAUUCCUCUUCGAACAAGAGCUUCACCCAUUCCUACAUAUGCUACAGACUUGGCUUCCAAGCUAAAAGCAGCCUUUCUAAACUAUACGAGACUGCCGAACCAAAGGCUGUUUAAGAAGCCAGGGUAAUCACAGCAUUCCUCCUAUCGGGUGACUUCACUCGCUUAAGCCGAAUCGCUUUCCUUAUGGCAUCUGCUUUCAAUGUCAGCUGGAUUGCCUAGUUGAUUGUUAGUUCGAUUUUUACUAGUUUCAAAGGCUUUCUGCCCCGGCUUGGGACUCACUCCUCCUUCUCACCUCAUCGCGAAUUGCAAGAGAGAAUCUAGGGUUACCAAGACAGAUAUUCUUACCACAGCUUCACGCUCUACUUACUGCUUUCCCUAAGGCAAGGAAGGCGGGAAAGGCAAGGUAAGUGCAAGCUAACUAAUGGAUAUAUACAUAUAUAUAUA